RNAcentral lists this long non-coding RNA (46387 nucleotides) under Triticum aestivum (bread wheat). RNAcentral's name for it is "long non-coding RNA (TAES_LNC009515)". Lineage: Eukaryota; Viridiplantae; Streptophyta; Magnoliopsida; Poales; Poaceae. The record is from RNAcentral.
UGCUCUGUGAUUGUGCACUGCAUUGCUAAUCCAGUUUGAUGGUCGAUUAGGCCUCCAGAGGCCUCCAUGUCCCGGAGCCUGAGUUUUCUUCCAGGGUGGUGGUGGUGGUGGUGAAAGGAGGCUGUAAUUUUAUUUCCGGUUCGGCGAUUCCAAGAUUUGUGGUGCUAGUUGAUGAUAGGGGAGAAUUUUGCCGCAAGAGGUGCUCGGGUGAGCCUUGCGGGCUGUUUGGUUGGUUAGAUGGAUGUGUUUAGUGCUCGGUGAAACAUUUUGUGCGUGUGCUGAGCAUGAUAUAGUAUGGAUGUUGAUCCUUAAUUGUUAGUUUAGUCUAUAGAUUUGAUGACUGUAUUAUGAUGAUGAUGAUGUAUCAAGUGACUGAAUUUGGUCUGGGCUGAGCUGGUAGGAAACCUUAUAAUCCUCCCUAGGGCUUGUUACUCUUGUUAUGUGAAAUAUGUUUCUUGUGAAUUUUGUGAGCUUUCUUUUAUCUGUUUUGCUUUUGUGCUUUAAAUCAUCAAGUUUGUUAGUUCCAGUUGUUACAAAUUAUGGGGUUUUGUUUUUGAUGUGUAUAAAUUAUGGAGUUAGGAAGGAGCUCCUCUCUUGACGAGGGGAUGCGCUUAAAUUUGUGUAUCUUGUGUGUUGAUCCGCAUAUAUUGCAUCAACAUACAACAGCUUGGCGGGCGAGCGACGCAAGUAAAAUGAUGUCAUCCUACGUGGUAGCAGCAGCAUAUUCUAUCCUUGUAGGUUGUGCUGUGCUGUGGUGACGGACGGAAGGGGUGCUGUGCAGUCUAGACUCGACUUUCACGAGCAAAGCAAACAUGUCUCUUUCCUCGGUUUGUAAUUGGUCUUUAUGUGGACUAGUCAACUUUCACAUGUAUCUAUCAUCUGCGUAGCGUGGGGAAAGUCCCAUUCACCAUAAAGCAGCGGUGCAGUUGCAGUGAGCGGCUUUGCUACGCCCGUUGCUGCAGAAGAGACCACGUCGCAAUACCAUCUCUCUCCAUCUUUCUAGUGGGUGUUGACUGGACCUGGGCCUGAGAUAGUUAUUUUUUCUCGAUAAUGAUUGAUUUUGCUGCUUCAAAAUGAAGCAUGAAGAGGAUACAAACAGAAUGAGCACUCGUCUGAAUUUUGCAUUCAUAGGUUACACACAUUCAGUACAAGCACGUUCACAUAAAAACACGUCAAUAAAUAGUAAAUCAUAUCUAAGAUCGAAUCUAUGCGUAGUGAUCAGAUACGAGAUAGCUAACUAGGGCUUUGUUUGGAGCACCUUCGCUUCACAACUUCACUCCCGGAGUUGGUAAAGUUGCAGUUGUAAACUGCCGAGCAGCUAUUUUCUGGCUCCACAGCUCCUGAAAUUUCAUGGAGCUGGUGGAACUCCCAACAGGCCUUAGGUUUGCCGAGUUGCCAGCCGGGCACAUGCACUCCCAGCGAGUCGUUGCUGCCGCUGCUGUCGAUCUGCGGUCUCCUGUUAUGUGGCCGUGGAGGAAGAAGAUGUCAGUUCACUCCGUCUUCAUUACUUUCUUUGUGCAUAACUCAAUACGGAUUCUCAUCCGGAUACAAGGACCGUAUGUACUUCACGUUGACGAAUCAAGUACGUAUUGGCCGGUGAUGCAGACCACCGACUCUACAUGCUACCACGUACAUACGGUCACCAUGAGCCUACCAACGUGUUGGCCCGCGAUUGGCUGAGCAGCCUGUCGCAAACAUACACAUACGUACGCAUGUGUUGACCUGAAUGUGACCGAGGAUGCAAAUAAACGUGACGGCGACGCAUUCAGGCAGGCAUGCCUGGACCUGACAAUCGAACGCAUAAAUAUGGAGUACCAAAGUCUAUCAACAGGUAGUACUAAGGGCGGGCAUCUCCAACGCCGAUCUUUACAUUGGACACCGCAUCCAUCCGUGGACAAAGGACAAGCCAGCCAUCGUACGCUAUUCUCCUAAAAGUCCGUCAGUAAGAUUAAUUUGAAAUGCAAAUCCAUCCGACCACAUAGCGCACACCCGAUCGCACCAGUGCAGGAUAACAUCAGCCCCCGAUCAUAACCCAAAAGGGGUAGGUAUGUAUAGUUUUUACAUCUCUGAUCACAAAACAAUAUCAGUCCGGCAGUCCGUGCAGAAAAUUGGAUUUUCUCCCCUGCCAAACAUGCAAUGCGAGCCUCCAUGCUCAAUCUGCGUAGCCCCCACUGUCUCCUUCUCCGCCGUCUCGGCCACCUCCUUGUCUGCCGCCUUCUUCUUCGGCCCAUUUAGCUCUUCCUUUUGCCGCUCAAUAUCUUGAAACGGACGGCUUGCACGAUCAUCAUUGUGUCGUCAUAUAAAUCCUCCAUCUUCAAGGCCAACAUCUUCGUGUCCUCCGAAGCGGCCGCAAUCUCAACCUUUCUCUCUUCGAGCAUGGCCUUCUUCUCUUCGAAUUUGAGCUUCUUGUCAGCCGCCACCAUCAACAUGUUAAACCUAUCUGCUUUUUUUCCUCCUUGACGUCAGAGCGCUUGACGUAUGCCCCUUCUUCGACAAGAUGUCCUUAAACCUCCCCGCCAUCUUGGCCUUUGCCCCUCUUGAUUCACCCUAUAUUCCUCCCACUUCUUUCCAUGAAACCAUCUUCUAACCUUCUUGGGCGGUUCUUUUGUUGGGUCGGUUGGAUCACCGGUUUCUUCCUUGGUGCCAUCUUGGCAAUGUAUAGAUUUCACUUGGGUUCUUCACUCAACUUCAACGAACAAUGCAUGACGGUGAAGUUUUUCUUCCCCAACUUCAAAAAUACACUACACGCAUGGGAAGGCUACAAAAAAAACAUUGUCAAUAAUGCAUAUCCGGCCAAACAAUCUACAAACAAUGCAUAUCCGGACAAAUGAUCUACAAAACAGUGCAUAUCUGGCCAAAUGAUCUACAGAACAAAGCAUAUCCGGCCAACUGAUCCAUUAAACAAUGCAUACCCAGACAAGUGAUCUACAAAAUAAUGCAUAUUCGGCCAAGUGAUCUACAUGUCCGUCCAAGUGAUCUACAACACAAUGCAUAUCCGGCCAAAUGAUGAACUUACUUGCUUGGUGAUUUGCGCACCACUUGGCAACCGUGCGAUGAGUUGCCUCAAGUGGUCGCAAUAAUUCUAAACGGCCUCUUAGAUGAUGUACCAUUGAUGGUUGAGAGACUUGCACCACGGUUGCGGAUGAGCGCGUCGGGGUAGGGAUGGAAAUGCUUGUAUUCAUGGAACCAAGAGUGAAUGUUGGCCCAAAAUGUUGCACCCUUUUGCUCCGUGCCAUGGAUCAGAUCAAGGCUAGUGGCCAACCAUGCAUCACACAACAAUUCGUCCUCCCGCAUGUUGAAGCUUUCUCCCCUACCCCUCUUUUUGGACCGGCAGCAAAUUCAUCCGGAUCAUUGUCGUCUCUGUCCUCCUCCUGCUCCUACUGUCCGGCGGCCCAUUCCCGUUGCUGUGUGUCCGUGCCAGGCUAGGUGUACGCGCUAGACUGGGUGUAGCCGGUUGCGUGCCCAACCGGGUGUACGUGCCGGACUAGGUGUAGCCCUGCUACGAGCCCGACUGGGUGUACGAACCAGCCUGGGUGGGCUCCGAGUCAUCCACCUGCCCAUCCUCGUAGAAACCUUGUCCUCCGCCUCCGUCGUGGAUGAUGUCAAACAUCCCCUGUCCGCGUGGUCGUACGCCGACUCGAGUGCUUUAGGCAUACCAGUGAACAAUGUGUAGGCACCCAACUGUUCCAUGCCCGGCGUCCGUGCCCAGACUAGCUGCGGGGGCGAACAAUCCGAAAAAGCGGUGGCGCCGCGUUGACGUCCACAAUGAAGGGCACUUGCCCGGCGGCGGAUGUCGGGGACAACCUACCGAGCUGCUUGGAAGCGUAGUGGUACGGAGCCUUGUAAUGCUCCAGCCAUGCCGGUGUCUGCGUGGUCUGCGGCGAGAGCGGGGCCCCGCGGCUCAGGCUCCGCCCUCCACCACGUUCGCCACCUCCACGUCGGCGAUGGCAAAAAAGUGCAGGAAUUGGGUGGAGAGCGGCGGGAUGGAAGAAGAGAGUGGGAGAAUUUACCGCUGAAACAGUGCGGCCAGCUACAAAUCACGUGCUUCGCGUUAGUUUUGGGUAGCCCGGGGAUGUCGGAAUACUACAUGGCGCAUGUCCGAACUUCCUUAAAGCCCCUCUCGUUCGGUUUCGGAUUGCGGAAAAUUGCGGUCCACACCACUCUGCGGAUCGAUGGAGAUCGUCAUUGAAUGUCUUGCAAGGGUCGAACAACUGCUUCCGGACGGAUACAAGCGGUUUGGAGGUCUGUGUUGGGAUGCCUUAAUUGAGCAGUAUAUAAUAUGCCCAUUGACUCCCUGCCCUAAUUGAGUAUGUAUGUACGUGCUGCAUUGACCAUUGAUUUACCUAGCCUAAGUUGCUUGGGAGAAUAUCACACGGAAAGCAACAUUCAAAGAAAACUUCAUGAAAACCAUGUUUGAAAGAUUUAAUAAAUUCUGAAAAAAGGGGAUGUUAAGAGUAUGAUGUUCUAUUGUCGUGUCAAAUUUCAAGUUAAAACACGGGAUGCGAGCUAUGAAAACACAGAUUUAGUAAUGAAUAAUGACAUUAUUGUUUGGCCUAUUCAAUGCUGAUUUUGUUUUUUUCAUAGCUCAUAUCUCGUAACGUGUUUGAACUUUAAAUUUUGCAAGGCAAUAGAACAUCAGUCUAUUAACAUCCCAUAUUUUUUUGUUUUUUCUGAAACUUCAAAACAUUAUUUUUACGUGGUUUUCAUCGGUUUCCACCGAACGUUGAUUUCCAUAUGAUAUUUUGCCAAGUUGAUUCGAGUGCAAACACUACCAGAUACGCUAAAGCUCCGCUAGCUCCCUAAAAAAAUGAGCCACUACCGCUGUUAUUAAAUAAGACUAGUUCAAGAAAGGCCAUCUCAAGUCCUGCACGUCCAUUUCGGGAGCUACGUGCUCUCUCAACUUGAUCUCAAUAAUAAAGAUACAUAACACCCAAACAACCCCCCUCCCCUGCCCCACAUCGCCCCCGCGGGCGACUCGGGUGCCCUAAUCCCGCCACCGACCCCAGCCUCCCUCCCUCUCCCCCUCCCCGCCACCGCCGCCGGCGGGCGCCGCCGGGCAAAGUCCGCGUGGUGCCGGCGGCGGCGUGAUUCAUCUUGCCCACACCUGGAGCGGUGGUCGCGGGGGACCACUUCUUCGGCCUGGCGGCGGAUCUCGGUGGCCUCAGCCCGGCGUCGAGUGGCCGACGCGGCGGAGANNNNNNNNNNNNNNNNNNNNNNNNNNNNNNNNNNNNNNNNNNNNNNNNNNNNNNNNNNNNNNNNNNNNNNNNNNNNNNNNNNNNNNNNNNNNNNNNNNNNNNNNNNNNNNNNNNNNNNNNNNNNNNNNNNNNNNNNNNNNNNNNNNNNNNNNNNNNNNNNNNNNNNNNNNNNNNNNNNNNNNNNNNNNNNNNNNNNNNNNNNNNNNNNNNNNNNNNNNNNNNNNNNNNNNNNNNNNNNNNNNNNNNNNNNNNNNNNNNNNNNNGGCGGAGAUGCGCGCUGGCGGGAGGUGGUGCAGGGCGUCGCGGUGGAGUGCGCAGGCCGGCUGCGGGUUGGUGCUCCUCGCCGCGAGGGAGUUCGUGCCUGGCCAGUUCGAGUGGGCCGAUCCGUGCAGAUCCGAGGAUCUCGGGCCGGAUCUGGUGCGUUUUCGGCGCUGGCCGGCGUCCCUGAGGUGCUCACUGCAGGGAGUGCGGCGGUUGUCUCUGGAUCUUUGCGUGGAGCAUAGCAGGAUGGAGGAUGCAGGUGGUGCACUGGCACUGGCGGUGGCGGCGGUGCGAGCGCAGCCAUGGUGGCGGCGGCGCUGCGAGGCCUUGCCAGGAAGGGUCUUGGCGGGCAGCGGGCGUUCGGUUGCUGCCGUGUGAGGCGUGCGGCGAUGCCUUGGCGGUGUGGGUGUCGGAGGGUGGUCGGAGGUGCGGGUCGGAUCCAUUCUGGUGGUAGUCCCCUGGCGUGGGUGAAGGCCACCGUGGCGGAACUGGCUUUGCACCGCUCGGUGGAUGCUGCUUCUCCUAGUCGAUGUUGAAGGCGAUGGCUUUAGGCGUGUUCCCUCGGCAGUGAGGGGGGCUUCGAUGGCAAGUUGUUGCGGUGACGGUGGUGCGAGGCAUCUGAUCAGGACUGGCCGGGAUCUUGGAGACUUGGAGAUGUGCAGAGCUACGGAUGAAAAUCCUGUUCGGUUGUGGCCGGACCGGCAUUGAUGGCACCUGCGGGUGUCAUUCACCUUCCCGGGGGCUUCGCCGAGUGCAACGCCAUCUUCCUCGCGACCUCGUAUCGGCAGCUGUCUCCGGGGCGAAAGCCUUGAUUCGUAGGAUCGGCAUGAUGGCAACGUCUUUGAGGUUGUUACUCUGUUGGGAGCAUUGUGCUGGGAGACUCGAGGUCCCAUGAUGCGCUCCUCCGGUGUUCACCGCUACCCGGAUCUUUUUCCUUUGGCGCCAUGUACGGUUGUCGCUGGCUACUCCAAGGAAGCUGGAGUUGCUGUUCUUCGGUGUCGGCCGAGACGCGGCAAGGGGCUCGGUGUUGGGUAGGCUUUUUGUGUCGUAGCCGUGUUGUUGUGUUUGGUUAUCCUUGUACGAACGGGGUGUGGAGUUGGUCGCCUUCGUUCUCCGUAGCGAAUGGUAGACGUUGUUGUAUGUCUUAUUUCUCUCCUUCUAUAAAGCUAAGGUACGCAAUUUGCAUACCCUUGAUUUUUUUUUAAUAAAGAUACAUGUCGACGAUCCGAUACCUGAUCUGGAGUAUAUUCAUGUUCCCAUGCGUGCAAGGAAAUUUCAGCUACAUCCGAUUAAAGUAUAUGGAUCGAUCCAUCGAUCAAUGCAUGUCUAUCUUGUGGCCGAUUGGUUCGACCUAUUCAAUUUCAUGGGUGGAAAGAUCUCUGUUUCCACUAAUCAACCUCAGCAGCUUAUUAAUUUCCUUUUUUUUUGCGGGGAAGCAGCUUAUUAAUUUCAUCUUCACUGUCCGUGUAUCGAGUUCAUUUUAAAAAUACGGUCAUUUGCAUUUAUGUCACUAACUCAAACCACCUAAUCAGAUAUACCCCAAAUUCGAAAGCCUGCUCAAAUUUGCCCCUCCACCGUUAGGUGCCCUUACAGAAAUGCCAUUCUGCGCCGUUACUGUUCAGUCAAAGAGCUUUGACCGUCCUACAGAAAAUAGCAAAAAAAAUCUAAAUUUUAUGAGAUCGAAAUUACUCAUGUGCGCAAGGUCCGUGCAAAUUUUCGUGCUAUUUAGACAUUCCAGGAGCUCGUGGCGAGGAAAAACAGUUAAUUUGUACUCAUGUGAACAGUAAAUUUGAAAUAAAAUAGCAAGAAAAUUCAAAAAAAAAAUGAAACUUUUUGGCAUCGAAGAGGCUUGGGUGGACAAGGUGCUUGCAAGUUUUUGUGAUCAAAUAACAUGCGAGGAGCUCUAGCAAAAAAACAAAAUAGUCAUUUUUUUCAAAGUUUUUUCCCGAGCCAAAAUUUGUUUUUUCUCCACGAGCUCCUACAGUGUCCAAACACAACAACAAUUUGCACGCACCUUGCAGAUCCGAGCCUCUUCGAUGCCAAAAUUUUUCAUAUUUUUUUGAAUUUACUGUCCACGAGCAUAUAUAUUUACUGUUUUUUCUUUGCCAUGACCUCCUGGAAUGUCCAAACAGCACGAAAAUUUGCACGCAUCUUGUGAACCUGAGUAUCUUUGAUCCCACCAAAUUUCAGAUUUUUUAGAUUUUUUGCUAUUUUUUUUAGGACGGUAAUGGCGCAGAAGGGCAUUUCUGUAAGGGCACUUAAUGGUGGAGGGGCAUUUUUGAGCAGGCUUUCGAAUUAGGGGCAAAUGUGAAUAAUGGGUUCGAGUUAGGGACACAGAUGUAAAAGACCCUUAAAAAUAUAUAGGAGAGGCCUGCCAUUGGUCGUACAUGAAACUUUAAAAUUAGAGCCUUAAGGGCAUCUUCAAGGCGGACCAGCAAACCUCAACAGUCCGGACCGCGCUGUCCGAACCGCAGAAGUCAUUCAACGCGGUCAGCUACAUCUAAUGCAGGGCGGCCCGGACGCGAUUUCUCCCACAAACCGGAGAAAAANNNNNNNNNNNNNNNNNNNNNNNNNNNNNNNNNNNNNNNNNNNNNNNNNNNNNNNNNNNNNNNNNNNNNNNNNNNNNNNNNNNNNNNNNNNNNNNNNNNNNNNNNNNNNNNNNNNNNNNNNNNNNNNNNNNNNNNNNNNNNNNNNNNNNNNNNNNNNNNUUUCUGACCGUCCUAGCCCACCCAAAACCAUCACCCGCCCCUCAUGCUCUUUCCUUUCGAUGCACACGCCGCUUAUCGCGCCACAUUCAUGCCGGCCCGGAGCAUGCAGCGGCCGACAUUGAUGCCGCAAUGUGACCGAAAGGAGGGAGGGCGACACUGACCGAGGCGACCUCUCGGCAGCCAUCGCUUCAAUGCGGACGCAGGUUCCCGAUGAACCAACUCCGGCAGCUACGCCGCAUUGAAGCGGACCGCCCCUUCGCCUGGGCCUCGCCACAGCUAUUUAGACCGUCCGCCGAAGAUGCACAGAGCCGCACCCCCUCCUGAGCACCGGCCCCCUCCCCUACCCCGUCUCUGUGUCUGAGCCCCUCCCUUCCCCUCUUCGACCCAAGCUCCGGCAAUGCCGAAGUCGUGGUGCUUCGUGCCGGCAGGCGAAGUAGGCGGAAGCUCCUCCUCCGGCCGUUCUUGGCACCGCCGCAUACGCUCUCCGGGCCUGCCAGUGUCUACGGCGGCCGGCUCCUCCGCUAAGGAGGAGAUCGUCAUCUCCUCCGGUGACGAGAAGGACCAGGCGCCGCCGCCGCAGCCACAGGAGCCAUCGCAGCAGCUGCCCCGGCUCCUCAAGGAGGCCGCUCUAAUGGAUGAAGGUUUUGUCCGUCAGAUCGAGAUAAUGACGGAGCGGUCACUCCAUUACAUGGUGUCGUCGCUGCCAUCGCCGGCAAACGUGAAGGAGGAGCCGCCGUCCCCGCCGCGCCACCGCAUCAAGGCCGAGUCGGCGUCCACACUCCUGCUGGUGAAGGAGAAGCCGGCCUCGCCCCGGCACAAGCGCGACAUCCAGAUCGGACGCCCCGUGAAGGAGGAGUCGGUUUCGCCCCCACACCACCGCGAUGUCCAGAUCAGAUGCCGGGUCAAGGAGAAGCCCGCGUCCCUGCCAAGCAGCCGGUACGGUGAUGACCCACAGGUAUAUGGGAUCAAUCAUAGUCCUUUCUAUAAGUAAGAGUGUCGAACCCAACGAGGAGCAGAAGGAAAUGACAAGCGGUUUUCAGCAAGGUAUUCUCUGCAAGCACUGAAAUUGUAAGUAACGAGUAGUUUGAUAGCAAGAUAAUUUGUAACGAACAAGUAAUGGUAACAACAAAUCAUAUGCAGUAAGGUAGCCCAAACCUUUUAUGACAAAGGACAGGCAAAAACGGUCUCUUAUGAUAAGCGUUCUUGAGCGUACACGGGAAUUUCAUCUAGUCACUUUCAUCAUGUUGGUUUGAUUUGUGUUCACUACUUUGAUAAUUUGAUAUGUGGGUGAACCGGUGCUUAGGUGCUGUUCUUACUUGAACAAACCUCCUACUUAUGAUUAACCCCCUCGCAAGCAUCCGCAACUAUGAGAAAAGUAUUAAGAUAAAAUCUAACCAUAGAAUUAUACUUUUGGGUCCAAAUCAGUCCCUUACGAAGUAGCGCAUAAACUAGGGUUUAAGCUUCUGUCACUCUCACAACCCAUCAUCUAAUAGCUACUCCACAAUGCAUUCCCUUAGGCCCUAAUAAGGUGAAGUGCCAUGUAGUCGACGUUCACAUGACACCACUAAGGGAAUCACAACAUACAUACCAUCAAAAUAUCGAACACAUAUCAAGUUCACAUGAUUACUGCAGCAAGAUUUCUCCCGUGACCUCAAGAACAAAAGUAACUACUCACAAAUGAUAAUCAUGCAAAAGAUCAGAGGGGUAUUAAAUAGCAUAAUGGAUCUGAACAUAUAAUCUUCCACCAAAUAAACCAUAUAGUAAUCAACUACGAGAUGUAAUCAACACUACUAGUCACCCACAAGCACCAAUCUAAAGUUCUGGUACAAAGAUUGAACACAAGAGAUGAACUAGGGUUUGAGAGGAGAUGGUGCUGUUGAAGAUGUUGGUGGAGAUUGCCCUCCCCAGGAUGGGAGAGUUGUUGGUGAUGAUGAUGACGAUGAUUUCCCCCUCCGGGAGGGAAGUUCCCCCGGCAGAAUCGCUCUGCCGGAGGGCAAAAGAUCUCCUGCCCAAGUUCCGCCUCGAGAUGGUGGCGCUUCGUCCCGAAAGCCCUCUCCUUAUUUUUUCUAGGUCAAAAUGACUUAUAUACCAGAAGAGGGGCACCGGAGGUGGGCCAAGGAGGGCACAACCCACCAGGGCGCGCCUGGGCUCCCUGGCGCGCACAGGUGGGUUGUGCCCACCUGGUGGGCCCCCUUUGGUAGUUAUUUGCUCCAAUAAUUAUUAAAUAUUCCAUAAAAAUUCUCCGUGAAGUUUUAGCUCAUUUGGAGUUGUGCAGAAUAGGUGGCCUGACGUAGCUUUUUCAGGUCCAGAAUUUCAGCUGCCGGUAUUCUCCUCUUUGUGUGAACCUUGCAUAUUAUGAGAGAAAAGACAUUACAAUUACCCAGAAAGCAUUGUUAUGCAUAAAAACAUUAUAAAUAACAAUAAGUAAUCAUGAUGCAGAAUGGACGUAUCAACUCCCCCAAGCUUAGACCUCGCUUGUCCUCAAGCGAAAAACCGACAUCGAAAAACAUGUCCACAUGCUUAGAGAGAGAGGUGUUGAUAAAAACAACAUACAAACAUAGAAGCAUCAUGUAUGUUAUUAUAACAACAAACUUUAUUAUAGAACUUUUAUCAUAAACUUCUCAUGAACAAGUAACAAUUCAUCACAACAUCGAAGCAUAAAGCAUAAACUCUAUUGAAAAUCAACAAACUAUGUUCUCAGUCAACUUUGCAACUACAAUUCAUCAUCUUUUCAGGAAGGGUCACGUAUCAGAGCCUUUUUGACAAGUCCACAAACUCAACCAUCAUAUAAUCUUCUAUGAUUGCUAACACUCACCGCAUACACAUGAGCAAAAAGUUUCAACCGGACACAUAGAAAGAUAGGGGCCUAUGUUUCGCCUUCCAACGUAUUCACCUCAAGGGUGAUGUCAACAAUAAUUACUCAUGCCCACCCAUAUCUAACUGGGUAUAUGUGCCUAGAUCUUUCCUCACCACAUGGUGCUUGCCAAAAGAGAAAAUAAAAAGGAAUAGAGAGAUACUUUGACUCUUGCAUAAAAGUAAAUACAUAAAAGUAAAAGAUAGGCCCUUCACAGAGGGAAGCAGAGGUUGCCAUGCGCUUUUUGGUUGUAUGCUCAAUCUCUUAGUGCAAAAGAACGUCACGUUAUAUUGCCCCUUAUGAUAGCAACCUUUAUCAUGCAGUAUGUCGCCUUUAUUAUAUUGCCAUCACAAGUUCGUACAACGCUCAAUUUUCUCUUACACUAAAUGAUCUAGCACUUUUAGAAGCAAUUUUUAUUGCCUUAUUGCACCGAUGGCAACUUACUUGAAGGAUCUUACUCAAUCCAUAGGUAGGUAUAGUGGACUCUCAAAACAAGAUUUGGGUUAAAUGUUUUGGAUGCACAAGUAGUAUCUCUCUACUUAGUGCGGAAUUUUUGGCUAGCAAAGAUGGGGGCAAGCACCACAUGUUAAAGGAUCUAUGACAAUAUAACUUCUAUGUGAAUAUGAACAAACAUAAAUCAUUACGUUGUCUUCCUAGUCCAACAUCAACAAUUUUGGCAUAUAAUAUUUUGAUGGGGGCUCACAAUCAUAAAAGAUGUCUAAGAUAGUGUAUUUGCAUGUGAAUCUUCUCUUCCCUUAUUAAUUCUUUCAUGAAUUGCAUCAUUGACCAAUGCUAUGUUUGUAAAUCUCCAAUAAUUUUUUCUACUUACACUACAAAAAAAUACACUUCCGUGAUGAUACGUGUUUGUCACAGUAGGUCGCGUUUUUGUCAUGCAUGUACAUCCAUGACAAAUUUAUGACAGAAUCAAGAUAGUCAUACCUGUGCUGUCGUAGAAGUGUUCCAUGACAUUACCAAAAUUAUCAUCACGGAAGUGUCCACUUCCAUGACGAUAAAUCGCGCGUCAUAGAAGUGCUUUCUUCAAGGGUGACCGACACGUGGCAUCCACUGUAACGGAACGCCGUUAAGCUAUCGGGCCGGGUUUUGGAUCCGAUAACCCGUUAACAGCCCUGACCAAUGGGGAUUUUCCACGUGUAAAAUCAUCAUUGGCUAGAGGAAACACGUGUCGGCUCAUCGUUGGGACAGAUGUCAUCCACUCACUGGACAGAAGGCGCCUAUGAUACGUCGACACGUGGCACGGCCCAACAGUGGCCCAUUCCUGUGAAAAGGCCAGGCCGUUUGACUUGGUCAAAAGCUGGCAGGCCGGCCCAUGGAAAGCCUGUUAACGGCCUGUUCGCAUAUAGCCCAUUUACAGCCCGCUAACCCAAGGCCCGUUACGCCCUAUCCGAAUUAGGCCCAGUAGCGUCAUCUGGGCCAUCCAAUAUGAUUCCAGCCCGUUUUCACUUCUGGCCCAUGUAUAGCCCAUGACGUCUUUCGGCCCAUAUGAGGCCCUUUGUAACUCUUGGCCCAUUAGCGGCCUGUGCUGAAACUGGCCCAUAAUGAAUAGUGUAUUACUUUACACCCAUUAACGGCCCGUGGUGAAACUGGCCCGUAAUGAACAGUGUAUCACUUUAUACCCAUUAACGGCCCGUUAUUCCGUUGGGCCGUUUCCAGCCCAAGUUAACUUUCGGCCUUCUGAGGGCCCAUUUAUUCUUGGGCUCAUUUGCAGCAUUCGGUUACUUACGGCCCGUUACUGUCAUUUUCUGCUUGUGGGCCAAAUUCAGCCCGUCGUUACAGUCGGCCCUUUUGUGGACCGUUAGUCUGUUGGGCCAUUUUCAUAGCAUCACCAAAUACGGCCUAUUAACGAUGGCCCGUUAUGGUCGGCCCAUGAACGGACGAUUCCAACUCUAGCCCAUUUACGGCCAUAAUGCGGUCUAUUUGGCCCAUGUUUGGCCAAUCGAUCAUACGGCCCGUAUAAGGCCCAUUGAUGAUACGGCCCGCAGAAGGCCCAUUGUUUCUACGGCCCGUAGAAGGCCCAUUGUUUCUACGGCCCGUAGAAGGACCACUGUUUCUACGGCCAGUAGGAGGCCCAGUGUCACUACAGUAAAUAUUAGCCCAUGGUUAUUGUGGCCUAGUUUUAAAAAAAUAGGUUAUUGCAGCCACUAGCUAACCGCGGAAAAAGAACUGCAAUGACUACAAGCAAACAAAUAAACAAGACAACAAGGAAAUAAAUAAGCAAGCAACUAACGCUAGGCUAUCAUGGCUAUUACACAUAUUACAUCCACUGGGCAUCAAAGUUCGCCACCAGUGCAAAUAUAGGGAACAAAGCAGCAUAUCAUAUACACUGGUUGUCAAAGUUGGCGACUAGCGCAAAUAAACGCCGCAGCAAAACAAAUCCAGAACUGAAACCACUUCAGAAGAUCUCAAGAAACAAUAUCCUGGGUACCCAUAAUGCUGGCAAGAUGCUUAGCAAGCUUAUUAACUUUCUCUUGUUUGGCGCUUUAAUCCUCCAGCGCUUGCUGUUGCACCAGAAAAUAUGCAUCUGAAUUCUGCAGGGACUUACUCAGUCCUUCAGCUUCCUGUCGCAGCACAUCUGAUCGAUGUCUUUCAACUUGAAGUUGAGACUCAAGAAGACGAACUGAUUCAGGCAGCGAGUUCGAAGAGCUUGUGCCAGGAGUAGUGGCUAGUAACUCGAACACUACAUCAAGACAGGACUUUUGGGUUCCCUCACUGUCGUCAAGAUAGUUUUUAUCAGCUUUCUUGGAGACCAACAGGGAUGUCUCACUAUCUUGAACCUUAUCUGCAUUACUUCCUUUACCAUUGGAUAACGCGGUACUGUUCUCCAAUAUUUUGUCCGCAUUCUAAAAGAGAAACAAGCAGACACAUCACAUGUUUACCAUGUUGUAUAUGAAACUCAUUUUGGUAAAUGAGUUCAGUAGUAAAGUGGACAGGAUAACAGCAUGAAACAAACAUAUAUCUAUGUACCAUGGUCACUUUAUGGUCUAUAUCAUUCUAGUUUUUGUUGCCAAAUCAAGAUAGAGACACAAUUCAAAUAAUAUUUGUUCAAGACAAAGCAGAAUAGACAUAAUAUAAGUGUGGGUAACUAUAGAACAAUAACAACACUUGUAAUGUGCAUGACAUGAGAACAUAAAUGUUUAUUCAAUUCAAACUGAAAUCAACAUAGAGCAGGUUACAACAGCAAACCAGUUAAAGAAACAGGUUUAAAACAUACCUGUUGCGCCAUUGGAGUUUCAAUUCCAUCCUUCAAAUUUGAAAAUAGUUGGUAUGAGUAAAUACAGUAAUGCAAGAGCAAAGGAGUAUGAACCAUAGCUACAGAACCUGACCUGAGAACAAAUCUUCUUCUCCUUUAAGCGUUGAGUUGGGAUUCGGAGUGGUGGUCCUCGUGCUUUGGGCACUGCAGUUCCCUUACUAACUGCUCGUGUUUGGGUGCUCUGUGGUGGAGAUGGUGCUAUGUCAACUGGAACUGGGUUACUAUCUGCCGGGGUUGGGGUUAGAAGGAGUGUAGCUGGUUCUCUGUCCAACUGGGUAGGGGUACAAUCUGCGAGAGUCUGGGUUAUGUGUGGUGGAUCUGGUCCUUGGGCAAGUACAACCGUGGUUCUAUCUGCAUCAACUGGUAGCACUAUCUUUUCUGAAGACCGUGUUGUUACUCCCUUAGAUACUGCCAUCACGCUCUCCAAUUCAAAUGGCUGAUAAACAAGAAAAGUAAUUGAAAGUAUAGACAUUGUAUGAUAGACAGGUGCAAUGGAUAGUGGGGAAUAAAAGAGGGCGUGAAAUAAUUCAUAUUUAUGUUGUCUAACCAAACAUGAUAGCAUGACACAAUUUCACAUAUAUGAUGGCUAACUAAACAGGAUAGCAUGACACAAUUUCACAUUAUGAUGGCUAACUAAAAAAGAUGGAAAGACAUAGUUCAAAAUAUGAGACUAUGUAAACAGGAUGACAUGACAUAACUAUAUAAUGUGUUUAUUAAAUAGGUUGGCAUGCCAUAAUUCACAUACAUUCACGGAUAGAAUGCCAUAAUUCAAAAUAUGAUGACUGUAAACACUAAACAGGAUGAGAUGAUAUAACUAUAUGAUGUCUUUAUUAAAUGGGUUGCCAUGCCAUAAUUCAGAUAGAUGAUGUGUAUGUAUUAUGUAAACAUGAUGGCAUGAUAUAAUUCAAAUAUAUGAUUUAUAUAGUAAGCAAGUAAGCAGAUGGCAAUCCAUAUAUGAUGUAAAAACUAAGCAAUGCAAGACAACAUGCAUGACAUGGGUAAUAUAACCCUGCCAAGUUUGAGCAUAGACCUCAGGGGGGAAAUAGGACUGGUCAUCAGUCUCUGAAUCCUCCUCUGAGGAGCUCUCUGUAACCAGCAAGAUGUCUGCUUCAGCANNNNNNNNNNNNNNNNNNNNNNNNNNNNNNNNNNNNNNNNNNNNNNNNNNNNNNNNNNNNNNNNNNNNNNNNNNNNNNNNNNNNNNNNNNNNNNNNNNNNNNNNNNNNNNNNNNNNNNNNNNNNNNNNNNNNNNNNNNNNNNNNNNNNNNNNNNNNNNNNNNNNNNNNNNNNNNNNNNNNNNNNNNNNNNNNNNNNNNNNNNNNNNNNNNNNNNNNNNNNNNNNNNNNNNNNNNNNNNNNNNNNNNNNNNNNNNNNNNNNNNNNNNNNNNNNNNNNNNNNNNNNNNNNNNNNNNNNNNNNNNNNNNNNNNNNNNNNNNNNNNNNNNNNNNNNNNNNNNNNNNNNNNNNNNNNNNNNNNNNNNNNNNNNNNNNNNNNNNNNNNNNNNNNNNNNNNNNNNNNNNNNNNNNNNNNNNNNNNNNNNNNNNNNNNNNNNNNNNNNNNNNNNNNNNNNNNNNNNNNNNNNNNNNNNNNNNNNNNNNNNNNNNNNNNNNNNNNNNNNNNNNNNNNNNNNNNNNNNNNNNNNNNNNNNNNNNNNNNNNNNNNNNNNNNNNNNNNNNNNNNNNNNNNNNNNNNNNNNNNNNNNNNNNNNNNNNNNNNNNNNNNNNNNNNNNNNNNNNNNNNNNNNNNNNNNNNNNNNNNNNNNNNNNNNNNNNNNNNNNNNNNNNNNNNNNNNNNNNNNNNNNNNNNNNNNNNNNNNNNNNNNNNNNNNNNNNNNNNNNNNNNNNNNNNNNNNNNNNNNNNNNNNNNNNNNNNNNNNNNNNNNNNNNNNNNNNNNNNNNNNNNNNNNNNNNNNNNNNNNNNNNNNNNNNNNNNNNNNNNNNNNNNNNNNNNNNNNNNNNNNNNNNNNNNNNNNNNNNNNNNNNNNNNNNNNNNNNNNNNNNNNNNNNNNNNNNNNNNNNNNNNNNNNNNNNNNNNNNNNNNNNNNNNNNNNNNNNACUGAACAGGUGGCAUUCACACAAAGCAUGUCUAAACUAAUCAAAUGACAUAGCAAUGCGAGACACCAUACGCACGAUAUGAGCAACAUAACCCUGCCAAGUUAGAGCAUACACCUCGGGGGGGGGGGAGGGGGAAUAGGACUGGUCAUCUGUCUCUGAAUCCUCCUCUGAGGAGCUAUCCGUAACCAGCGAGAUAUGCGCUUCGUCAGAUAGCAUAGUCUGCUAUGAAGACCUUGUUUUCACUCCAGAAUUUGCCAUCACCGUGUCAAAUGGUUGAUGCACACGAAGAGCAGUUGAAUGUACUAACAUUGUUGACAAAUGUAAUAUGUAACGAAAAAAGGAUGGCCUGAUAUAAUUUACAUAUAAGAUGACUGGCUAAGCAGGAUGGCAUUGCAAAAUUCACAUAUAUGAUGCCUGGCUAAACAAGAUGGCGUUGCAUAAUUCACAUAAACGAUGAAUAAACUAAACAGAUGGCAUUCGCACAAAGGAUGUCUAAACUAAGCAGAUGACAUAUUUGAUGUAUAAAGUAAGCAAUGCAAGACACCAUAUGCAUGAUAUAACCAACAUCAGCAUGCCAAGUUAGAGCGAAGACCUCAGGGGGUAAAUAGGAGUUGUCUUCUCCUUCUGAAUCCCCCUCAGAACAGAUAUCUUCCUCUCGAUUACAAUCCGAAAUGCGUGGAGGGGGGGCUGCCUUUGCGCCUACCAUGGAGCGACGUCUGCAUGAAAUUUUAUUGCCACGCAAGGCUCGUCUCUUUUGCUCUACAUGUUCAGUUCCAUUGUUUAUAAUAACUGUCAUGCAUAGGAAUAAAACAUAGUGAGAUUAUGUAAGGAGUGCAUGCAGAAAUCCAGAGUGAUGGUAGCAACCUGUGGAUAGACCCAAAACCAAUAAUAGCAGACAGAUAAUGGCUUCAGUUAAAAAAUACAGAUAAUGGCUUCUUUACUGUUUGUUUCCCACCCAACAUGAAACUCAUAGUAGACACCGGAGAUUAACCAGAUAGUAGAUAGAUACUAUUGAUAGCGGCCCCGAUAUGUACCCCACAACCAUUUAAAAACUCAAGUUUGACCAUUAGUUUGGAGCUGACUCAGAGUCUAAUCGGUGAACAGGACGAUAAAGUAGCAUGUAAUAUUAAGCGAUGCAUAACGUAAGCAGACACAAAAGAGUACGACCUCUCUUGCGGACCCGUGUAGUCCUCGAGGUCAUAUGCUCGGUUGAUGAUGGUAAUGCAGUUUGCAUGGCUGCCAGCGGCGGGGAAGAAGAUCUGAGGCAGCGAAAGACAGUCUGGAGGCCGGAUCCCUGCUGUGCUGGACCCUUCUGUCGUUGGAGCAGCUGAGCUGGGGUGGACGACGGCGCAGCAUGAGCGGGACAAACCACACAAGGUUUUCUUUGACAACUAUCUGUAAGAGAAGUAAUUCUGUAAGGGCUCGUUUGAAUUGGAGGAUUCCAACGAUGCAGGGAUAGGAAAUAGACAAGAAUAGGAUAGGAAUGCACGUGCAAAACAGAGAAUUAAAAAACACAGGAUUUCUGCCAAUCUGGGUGUUUGAUUCACAAUAAUUGGAAGAUCACAUGAUGCAAAGAAGCAUGGCGAGAUUAAGUCAAACCACAAGAAAAUGUACGGUUAUAAUGCUAUUAUGCUACUAUCUCUUAGUCUUGUGCUUCAUGAAUAGGAAUUUGAAAAGGAGGACAAGUGAAAAUUAAAAUUCCUACGUUUUUUCUUUCAAGGAGACACUAAAGGAACAAAUCCGUGUGCUCAGUGGACAAUAUAUAUAACAUGUAGAGUAAAAAAGAGAUGCAACAAGUGUACAACCUCUUUGGCGAAGUCAUGUCGAUCUCAGCGUGAUUGGGUUGGCCGGUGAGGAUGCUCUGGCUGACUUUGCUGUCGGAGGAGGGAAGAAGAUCUUAGGCGUCUGGAGAUGGAGCCCGAGGUACUGCUCCGCUGUGAUGGAGGGUUUCGUCAUUGGAGCAGCUCCGGUGAGUUGUACGACGCCGAGGCUGAAGCAGGACAAGAGAGACAACGAACAACGUUAACCUGAGUGGAAUUCUAAUAGCAUCUGCAAUACGUGACAUAAAAAGACAUAACCACAAAGUGCUAGAUGUAAAAUACAUCAGCCGCUCAUCUCUGAACUUAACUGUCGAAACUGAACUUAACUGUCGAAACUGAAUUUUGCCGGCGGUGCGCCUCCCCGCCCGCCCCGAAAACACUCCCCACCGCCGGUCCGCCGCCGCCCCGGCCAUCCCUCUAGGCCCCCCGUGCCGAGCUUUUUCUCCGGCGAUCCCCACGCCACCGCCCCGCCAACGCCCCGCCACCGCCGGCGACCACCGCCCCCAUCCUGAACCCUAAGAUAGAUAGUGGGGUACCUCUCCAGCGAGCCCCCCUCCCCGCUGCGGCUGGUUCUUCCUUCACCCCGGCGAGCCCCCCACCCCCUGAAAAUCGACUGACCCAAAAGUCGAUUCAGUCNNNNNNNNNNNNNNNNNNNNNNNNNNNNNNNNNNNNNNNNNNNNNNNNNNNNNNNNNNNNNNNNNNNNNNNNNNNNNNNNNNNNNNNNNNNNNNNNNNNNNNNNNNNNNNNNNNNNNNNNNNNNNNNNNNNNNNNNNNNNNNNNNNNNNNNNNNNNNNNNNNNNNNNNNNNNNNNNNNNNNNNNNNNNNNNNNNNNNNNNNNNNNNNNNNNNNNNNNNNNNNNNNNNNNNNNNNNNNNNNNNNNNNNNNNNNNNNNNNNNNNNNNNNNNNNNNNNNNNNNNNNNNNNNNNNNNNNNNNNNNNNNNNNNNNNNNNNNNNNNNNNNNNNNNNGAUAGUGGGGUACCUCUCCGGCGAGCCCCCCUCCCCGCUGCGGCUGGUUCUUCCUUCACCCCGGCGAGCCCCCCACCCCCUGAAAAUCGACUGACCCAAAAGUCGAUUCAGUCGACUGAAGUGUAGCUAAAUCGGAGCAGCAUCGCAAGCAAGAGCAAGAGCGAGAGCAGCAGCACGAGCAAGAGCAAUAGCAAGAGCAGACCAGGCAGGGGACCCAGAGCAAGAGCAGAGCAGCAGCGCGAGCGAGAGCUAAAGCAGCAGCAGCUCCUACUGAUGUGGACGUCGCCGCCGAGGGAGCGACGCCGUGGAGGAAGUGGCCCGCGACGCCGCCGUGGAUGGAGCCGCACCGUGUCGGCUCGGGACCGAGCGCCGACAGCACGGUGAGAUCGAAUCAAGAAGAAAAUGCGGCGAUUAGUGUACAACCUCUUUGGUGGCGCCGAUUAGGCCGCGGCUUCAUCCAAGGAAACGGUGAUGAUGAUGCUCUUCCGGUGGUGCUGGUGAAGACGGCGGUGUGGGAAUGGAGGUGGCGCGAAAGACGAGGGGAACGUCGGGGCAGCUCCUUGGAGGUGGAGGACGGGGUGGCUGAAUCGGCGGGACGAUGAGAUCGACGACGGAUCCUCAUCCGGUACGGUGGAUGAGGGACGUCGAGGUGUUGCUGUGGACGACGUCGUCGGGGAAGAGGCUCCGGCUGGGUGGCGGACGAAGCAGGGUGUGGGGUUUCAUCGCGGGUUUUCGCGGCCUCGGUGUACGAAUGGGUGGGCGGAUGGGAUGGCAGUGGGGAACCAUGGCUUAGAGAUGCGCUUGUCCGAAAUGUGGGGUAAGUUACGAAAGUACCCCCACCGAUUUGAGGCGGUUCUUUCGGUUCAGGGGUACCACGGGCAUUUCGCGUGUCGGGAUUUCACAGGAGGUGGGAGUUUUCGCUCGCGUUGUAAUUUCGGAAUAGCAAGGCGCGGGUUGAGAUGGAGGGAAUUGUCGGAGCACAACGAGACAAAGAUAUAUCUUAAAUAUUUCGGGCUAACAAGGCGCGGGCUGAAAUUUCCGGACAAGCCUAACGUGUACUGUACCAAAUCAAUGCGCACUACAAAUGUCAUUCAAAACUUUGAAUUCAUGUUAUGUUCAAUUAAAAUAUUUCGCUACGUGUAUAAUGCAUGCAACCUACUACUCAAAUGAACGUUUUAGUGCAUUCCAAACGUAUAUACUACCGCUUCAAUAUGAACUAAAUUUGAAUUCGUUUCUCUAUUUGAAUAAGAUCCACAGUAAUGAUUGUUGUGAAGUCAAAGCAUUUGAAUUCGUUUCUCUGUUUUAAUAAGAUCUACAAUCAUCAUUAUUGUCAAGUUAAACCAUCGUUACAUAUGAACUAUGUGUACUAUAUGAACUCGAACUAGAUUAUUUGAAUCCACUUUAUUUUGAUUUCAAAUCACAUUACAUUUCUAGCUCUAGCUAGAUCUUCAUAAUCUAAGCCAUGUCUCAUAUGUAUAAUGUGUUUAUCACAUUAUGUAUGGUGCCCCGCCCCCUACGCCUACAAGUAUUUAGAUGUGAGUUGCAAACACCACACAUUACCACAAAUUCAAAUAAAAUGUGAGAAUGUUCGAUAUAUAGUAUUGUUUAGAUUGUUCGAUAUUUAGUUGUAAGCUGCAAACGCCACACAUUAUCACAAAUUCAAAUAAAAUGUGAGAUUGUUUGAUGUAUAGUAUGGUUUAGAUUGUUCGGCAUUUAGUUGUGAGUUGCAAACGCCAUGCAUUAUCACAUUAUGGUAUAACAUGUGCACAGCACGUGUAUCACCGCUAUAUUCAUGCAUGCAAUGUUUAAAACACUAUGAUCUCCUAUUCAAAUAUAUGAAUCCGUUUUCAUAUCAAAUUAUGAUCUUUGUUAGUCUCUUACACCCACACAAUCCUCUAACCUUUGUAGCUACAACUAACUUUCUCUCGUGCAUGCACACGCCCUCCUCGCCCUCCUUGUAACACCCACGAUGCGGCUAUAUCUCCCACGUGUUGAGGCACGACUUAGAGGCAUAACCGCAUUGUAGGUAUUGUUGCAAGAAGGGUCAUCUUCACACAAUCCCAUGUAAUGAACAAGAAUGGGACAAUCGCCACUUCACAACAACAACAACAACAAAGCCUUUAGUCCCAAACAAGUUGGGGUAGGCUAGAGGUGAAACCCAUAAGAUCUCGCAACCAACUCAUGGCUCUGGCACAUGGAUAGCAAGCUUCCACGCACCCCUGUCCAUAGCUAGCUCUUUGUCGAUACUCCAAUCCUUCAGGUCUCUCUUAACGGACUCCUCCCAUGUCAAAAUCGGUCGACCCCGCCCUCUCUUGACAUUCUCCGCACGCUUUAGCCGUCCGCUAUGCACUGGAGCUUCUGGAGGCCUGCGCUGAAUAUGCCCAAACCAUCUCAAACGAUGUUGGACAAACUUCUCCUCAAUUGGUGCUACCCCAACUCUAUCUCGUAUAUCAUCAUUCCGGACUCGAUCCUUCCUCGUGUGGCCACACAUCCAUCUCAACAUACGCAUCUCCGCCACACCUAACUGUUGAACAUGUCGCCUUUUAGUCGGCCAACACUCCGCGCCAUACAACAUUGCGGGUCGAACCGCCGUCCUGUAGAACUUGCCUUUUAGCUUUUGUGGCACUCUCUUGUCACAGAGAAUGCCAGAAGCUUGGCGCCACUUCAUCCAUCCGGCUUUGAUUCGAUGGUUCACAUCUUCAUCAAUACCCCCAUCCUCCUGCAACAUUGACCCCAAAUACCGAAAGGUGUCCUUCCGAGGUACCACCUGGCCAUCAAGGCUAACCUCCUCCUCCUCAUAGCUAGUAGUACUGAAACCACACAUCAUGUACUCGGUUUUAGUUCUACUAAGCCUAAACCCUUUCGAUUCCAAGGUUUGUCUCCAUAACUCUAACUUCCUAUUUACCCCCGUCCGACUAUCGUCAACUAGCACCACAUCAUCCGCAAAGAGCAUACACCAUGGGAUAUCUCCUUGUAUACCCCUUGUGACCUCAUCCAUCACCAAUGCAAAAAGAUAAGGGCUCAAAGCUGACCCCUGAUGCAGUCCUAUCUUAAUCGGGAAGUCAUCGGUGUCGACAUCACUUGUUCGAACACUUGUCACAACAUUAUUGUACAUGUCCUUGAUGAGGGUAAUGUACUUUGCUGGGACUUUGUGUUUCUCCAAGGCCCACCACAUGACAUUCCACGGUAUCUUAUCAUAGGCCUUCUCCAAGUCAAUGAACACCAUAUGCAAGUCCUUCUUAUGCUCCCUAUAUCUCUCCAUAAGUUGUCGUACCAAGAAAAUGGCUUCCAUGGUCGACCUCCCAGGCAUGAAACCAAACUGAUUUUUGGUCACGCUUGUCAUUCUUCUUAAGCGGUGCUCAAUGACUCUCUCCCAUAGCUUCAUUGUAUGGCUCAUCAGCUUAAUUCCACGGUAAUUAGUACAACUCUGAACAUCCCCCUUGUUCUUGAAGAUUGGUACUAAUAUACUCCAUCUCCAUUCUUCUGGCAUCUUGUUUGCCCGAAAAAUGAGGUUGAAAAGCUUGGUUAGCCAUACUAUCGCUAUGUCCCCGAGACCUUUCCACACCUCAAUGGGGAUACAAUCAGGGCCCAUCGCCUUGCCUCCUUUCAUCCUUUUUAAAGCCUCCUUCACCUCAGACUCCUGGAUGCGCCGCACAAAACGCAUGCUGGUCUCAUGAAAGGAGUCAUUCAGUUCAAUGGUAGAACUCUCAUUCUCCCCAUUGAACAGCUUGUCGAAGUACUCCCGCCAUCUAUGCUUAAUCUCUUCGUCCUUCACCAAGAGUUGGCCUGCUCCGUCCUUGAUGCAUUUGACUUGGCCAAUAUCCCUCAUCUUCCUCUCCCGGAUCUUAGCCAUCUUAUAGAUGUCCCUUUCACCUUCCUUCGUGCCUAACCGUUGGUAGAGGUGCUCAUAUGCCCGACCCCUUGCUUCACCAACAGCUCGCUUUGCGGCCUUCUUCGCCAUCUUGUACUUCUCUAUGUUGUCUGCACUCCUAUCCAGGUAUAGGCGUCUGAAGCAAUCUUUCUUCUCUUUAAGCGCCUUCUGGACAUCAUCAUUCCACCACCAGGUAUCCUUAUCUUCGCUUCUCCUUCCCCUGGACACUCCAAACUCCUCCGAGGCCACCUUACGAAUGCAAGUCGCCAUCUUCAUCCACACAUUGUCCGCAUCCCCUCCUUCCUCCCAAGGGCCCUCCUUAAAUAUCCUCUCCUUGAACACCUGAGCUACCUCCCCCUUGAGCUUCCACCACUUCGUUCUAGCGACCUUGGCACGCUUAUCCCGCUGGACACGAAUCCGAAAGCGGAAGUCAGCAACCACCAGCUUAUGCUGGGGUACAACACUCUCCCCAGGUAUCACCUUACAGUCUAGGCACGCACGCCUAUCUUCUCUUCUCGAGAGGAUGAAAUCAAUCUGGCUAGAGUGUUGGCCACUACUAAAAGUCACCAGAUGUGAUUCUCUCUUUCUAAAGAGGGUGUUAGCUACAAUCAUGUUGUAGGCUAGAGCAAAGCUUAAGACAUCUUCUCCUUCUUGAUUCCUGAUGCCAUAGCCAAAGCCCCCAUGCGCCCCUUCAAAACCUAUGUUAGAUGUACCCACGUGGCCAUUGAGGUCUCCUCCUAUGAAGAGCUUCUCACCAAUCGGUACACUCCUAACCAUGUCUUCCAAGCCUUCCCAGAACUCCCUCUUGGUGUUCUCAUUGUGGCCUACUUGCGGGGCAUAUGCGCUGAUAACAUUGAGAACCAAGUCCUCAGCUACCAGCUUGACCAGGAUAAUCCGGUCCCCACGUCUCCUGACGUCUACCACUCCAUACUUGAGGCUCUUGUUGAUCAAGAUGCCUACGCCAUUUCUGUUUGCAGCCGUCCCCGUGUACCACAGCUUGAAGCCGGUAUCCUCCACCUCCUUCGCCUUCUGUCCUCUCCAUUUGGUUUCUUGGACGCAAAGGAUAUCAACACCUCUCCUCACUGCUGCAUCAACUAGCUCCCGAAGCUUUCCUGUCAGAGACCCUACGUUCCAGCUACCUAAGCGAAUCCUCCUAGGCUCGGCUAGCUUCCUUACCCUUCGCACUCGUCGAGUCAAAUGCAAAGACCCUUGCUCAUUUUCCACUACAUCCGGGCGCCGAUGUAGCGCGCCACUAAGGAUGCGACGACCCGAUCCUCGCUCACUUGCCACCGUAUCCGGAUCAAGAUACGGCGCGCCACUUGGGGGGUGACGGCCCGGCCCUUGCCCAUUUUCCACCACACCCGGGUUCCGAUGUGGCGCGUCGCUGAGAGGGUUACGCCCCUCACACAAUACAUAAAUUAAUUCAUACAUCAUCCAAAAUCCACACAUAGACCGACUACGGUCAAAACCAAAUGGAAAGAAGAUAACCCCAAAUGCUAGAUCCCCGAUCGUCCCAACUGGGCUCCACUACUGAUCAUCAGGAAACGAAACAUAGUAACGACCACGUUCCUCGUCGAACUCCCACUUGAGCUCGGUUGCGUCACCAGCACUGGUAUCGUCGGCACCUGCAACUGUUUUGGUAGAAUCUGUGAGUCACGAGGACUCAGCAAUCUCACACCCGCGAGAUCAAGACUAUUUAAGCUUAUAGGAAAGGAUGGGGUAAUGAGGUGGAGCUGCAGCAAGCACUAAGCAUAUGGUGGCUAACAUACGCAAAUGAGAGCGAGAAGAGAAGCAACACAACGGUCGCGAAGCUAGAGGUGAUCAAGAAGUGAUCCUGAAACUGCUUACGUUCAUACAUAACCCAAACCGUGUUCACUUCCCGGACUCCGCCGAAAAGAGACCAUCACGGCUACACACACGGUUGAUGUAUUUUAAUUAAGUCAAGUGUCAAGUUCUCUACAACCGGACAUUAACAAAUUCCCAUCUGCCUCAUAACCGCGGGCACGGCUUUCGAAAGAUAAUACCCUGCAGGGGUGUGCCAACUUAGCCCAUUAUAAGCUCUCACGGUCAACGAAGGAUAUUCCUUCUCCCGGGAAGACCCGAUCAGUCUCGGAAUCCCGGUUUAUAAGACAUUUCGACAAUGGUAAAACAAGACCAGCAAAGCCGCCCGAUGUGCUGACAAAUCCCGAUAGGAGCUGCACAUAUCUCGUUCUCAGGGCACACCGGAUAAGUCAAGCUACGAGUAAAACCAGGCCUCGAGUUUCCCCGAGGUGGCCCCGCAGGCUGCUCGGUUCGGACCAACACUCGAAGGAGCACUGGCCCCGGGGGGGGGGGGGGUUAAAUAAAGAUGACCCUCGGGCUUGCGAAAACCCAAGGGAAAAAGGCUUAGGUGGAAAAUGGUAAAACCAAGGUUGGGCCUUGCUGGAGGAGUUUCAACCAAAGCGAACUGUCAAGGGGGUCCCAUAAAUCACCCAACCGCGUAAGGAACGGAAAAUCAAGGAACAUAACACCGGUAUGACGGAAACUAGGGCUGCAAGAGUGGAACAAAACACCAGACAUAAGGCCGAGCCUUCCACCCUUUACCAAAUAUAUAGAUGCAUUAAUUAAAUAAGAGAUAUUGUGAUAUGCCAAAAAUAUCCAUGUUCCAACAUGGAACCAAUUUCAACUUCACCUGCAACUAGCAACGCUAUAAGAAGGGCUGAGCAAAAGCGGUAACUUAGCCAAACAACGGUUUGCUAGGCAAGGAUGGUUAGAGGCUUGACAUGGCAACAUGGGAGGCAUGAUAUAGCAAGUGGUAGGUAGCGCAAGCAUAGCGAUAGAGCGAACAACUAGCAAAGCAAAGAUAGAAGUGAUUUCGAGGGUAUGGUCAUCUUGCCUGCAAGGUUCUCAGAGUUGUCGAAAGCUUGAUCCUCGUAAGCGUACUCAACAGGUUCCUCGUUCACGUACUCGUCUCCCGGCUCUACCCAAAGCAAGAACACAAGAACGGGACCAACAAUCAAUCACGGGAAAUGCACAAGCAACAUGAUGCAAUACAUGACAUGAUAUGCGAGAUGUGAUAUGCAAUGUAUAUGCGUGCCCCAGAAGGGAAAAGAUGAACAAGGCAUCAACUUGGCAAACCAAGUAUGCCGUUGGAAAUAUGAGAAGAUUUUGGUCGAAAUCGAUAUAAAGAUCACCGGAAACGGAUGCACGGUUUGCAAAUGGCAAGCAAAACAAGAAUGACACAAUUCUGCGAUUAACAGCAUGAUAGCACUUAGAAUACAUCAAGUAACUAUGCUACAGCACCCCAACAUAGCAACAAAGCAUAUGGCAGCGAUCUACAAGAGAUUCUUAACAAAAGAUGAACACUGAGCUACGGCUAGAUCACACAAUAACAGGUUCAAACAAGCAUGGCAAAAGUGCAAAAGAUAUCAGCUUCACAGACUUAGUGAAAAUACUGGACAUGCCAGAAAUAACAUCAGGAAGCCAUGUUUAGAGCAAGCAAGCAGCAUGCUACAGGAACAUAUCAUAGAAAAUCAAGGCAUGGCAUGAAUCUACUAAAUUCAUAGAACAAAAGUCCCUUACUGAUCAUGAGCUAAAAAGGCACAGAAGAUAUGAUGGCACCCAUGUAAACAUAGCAAGUUUCGUUAACAGGUUUCAGACUUGCAGAAAACAGAGCCUGGCAUUAACAGAAUUAUGAAGGCAUCUUUGUGAGCUCGAUUCACUCAUCACAAAGCAAUGCAUGACAAAAAAAGUAUAACAACAGAAAGAAGACAUGUUUAUGAAGCUAUCCAUGGCAAGAGAAAGUUUAUAGCAUGUAUGGAUCAACUACAACAACCUUUGCAAAAUUGAAUAGCAUGCUAACAUUCUGCCAGGAACAUUUUAUAGCAAAAGUAGAGCAAGAUUUAGAUAUGCUAGGGAACUCCAUAAUUGCAAACAGGGGCAUGGAUGGAUAGAGCAAAACUAUAUGUCUAAAACAUCCUUACUGAACAUACUCAAAAGAAGCAUGGAUCUCACUGUAGCCACAUGAACACAUGGCAUCAAAAUAACAGCAGGUAAAGACUUAGCAAAAUUCUAAGUCCCUGAAAACAGUAACAUCACGAACCCUAGUUUACAUGCUUGUGCUAGUCACCACAUAGAUCACAAAAAUACAUGGCAUAUAUCUCUGUAAAGAUGGCAUGGCAUAGAUCAAAACACCUGUAGAGCUCAUGCUCAUAAGAUGCACACAUCAAAUGCGACAAAAAUAACAAAACGUCAAGUUCUGAUAAGUAACAGCAGUAAACAUCAUAUAGCACUCUUGCAACAACGAUUUAGGCAUCAAGAUGAACUUAAACAGACAUGACACAAUGGAACAAAAUGAGGAGCAUAACCUGAUGAACAUUUCGAUAUAUCAUGCGCAUGAAACGGAGCAGUAUGCAAGGAGAUAGGAUGCGAUAAACAGAGCCACAUAAUAUAAGCAAUUCAGGACAGCAGAAAAACGAGGGGGGGGGGGAAGUCAACCUCGUUCCAGAUCUAGGGUUCGGGCGCGCGGGAGGCCAGGCUCUCGCCGGAGAAGGUGCGGCGGUGGCCGGAGAAGGCCGGAGAAGGACGGGGAAGGCGCCGGCGGGACGGGGCCGACCGGACCUCGCCGAAUCCGGCGCCGGCGGAGGAGCGGGACGGCGGAUGGAGGGAGCCUUGGCUCGGGCGGCGCGCGCGGUGGCAGCGGCGCACCGGNNNNNNNNNNNNNNNNNNNNNNNNNNNNNNNNNNNNNNNNNNNNNNNNNNNNNNNNNNNNNNNNNNNNNNNNNNNNNNNNNNNNNNNNNNNNNNNNNNNNNNNNNNNNNNNNNNNNNNNNNNNNNNNNNNNNNNNNNNNNNNNNNNNNNNNNNNNNNNNNNNNNNNNNNNNNNNNNNNNNNNNNNNNNNNNNNNNNNNNNNNNNNNNNNNNNNNNNNNNNNNNNNNNNNNNNNNNNNNNNNNNNNNNNNNNNNNNNNNNNNNNNNNNNNNNNNNNNNNNNNNNNNNNNNNNNNNNNNNNNNNNNNNNNNNNNNNNNNNNNNNNNNNCGGGGGCCGGCGAUGGGCUCGGCGGGCCUCGGCGGCGGUGGGCGGCGAGGAGCCACGUGGCAGCGCGGGAUUGGCUCGGGGCGGCGGCGGCGAUUUGUCCGGCCGGACCGGACGUGUCCGGCGGCGGAGAGGGAGCGGAGCUAGGGUUUCGGGACCCGGAUUUGGAGGAGGGGUGCACAUAUUUAUAGGUAGAGGGAGCUAGGAGACUCCAAAUGAGGUGCGGUUUUCGCCCACAUGAUCGUGAUCCAACGACGGAGAGCAUGGAAGUGACUUAGAUGGGAUAUUGGGCUGUUUUGGAGGGGUGUUGGGCUGCAACACUUAAAAGGCCUUUGCGGUUACCCGGUUAACCGUUGGAGCAUCAAACGACCUCCAAAUGGAACGAAACUUGACAGGUGGCCUACCGGUGAUGUACCAAGGCCACUUGGCAAACCUCGGUCCAUUCCGAAAACGUUUAACACCCGCUCACGAAAAGAGACAAGAGGGGUGCGCCGGUGCAUGUGGGAGUGUCGGAUUGCAAAACGGACAACGGGGAAAAUGCUCGGAUGCAUUUGACGAACACGUAUGCAAAUGAGAUGCACAUGAUGACAUGAUAUGAGAUGCAUGACAUGAACAAAAUGCAAAACGAAAGACAAAACCCGACCACGAAGGGAAUAUCAUAACACAUAGCCGAAAAUGGCAAGAGCUAGAGUUACAAAUAUGGAAAGUCACAUCCGGGGCAUUACACUCCCCCUCCCUCGACAUUCUAUCCACCGGGCACAUUCAUUUUUUUCUUUAGGUCGUUAUCCCAGAGUCUCCACAACUCCUUUCCGACACACACCGAUUGUUGAGGAUAUAGACCUUAGAGUCACCUGCCAGGAGGGGCCGGGUUACUCUAAUGGUCAUUACCAGAAGCCCGGCGCCAAGCUUGAAGACGGUGGGCCAGAGAUGGGCUUAAGACCCGGAUAUGGCUUAAGGCCCGUAGUUACAAUCAUUAUCAUGGUAGAACUUGUAGUGCAAGGCAAGAAUAGCUGAGAGUCCGAGCCGGACACUCUUAUGAGCCGGCCGGGACUCUGAGAGCUGCUGGGCGUCAGCCUCCCUAUAUAAAGGGGCGACCCGGCAGCGGUUUAGGGACAAGAACAAUAUCAUCGAGAACCAGGCAUAGCGGUUUAAGCUCCCUGGUCAUCGAAACCCUAAUCAAUACCACCUCAAACUGGACGUAGGCUUUUACCUUCACCGUAAGGGGCCGAACCAGUAUAAACCCUCGUGUUCCUUGUCCCGCAUUAACCCCUUCAAGCUUCCUAGCUGCGAUGGCUCCACGACUAAGUCCUAGCUCGAGGACAUCUGCCGUGACAAUUCCACGACAGUUGGCGCCCACCGUGGGGCCAGCGCACGGUGGAUUUGAGUUCUUAAAGGGCAGCUUCGAAGGUCUCAAGGGAUACGCUGUGGGCCGGAUGACCAAGAGUCGUCGCGGCAAGCUCUACAUCGACGAUGCAAGCUGGGGCCCCGACGCCGGCUCAACUGAGUACGGGUACCGGGUCCCCUUCGGUGGAAUUCAUGUUUUCAUCGGCAAGAUUGGUGAGCCGGGCCCUGAGCCGGAUCUCUGCGCCGGUCUCAUUGAGACGGCUCAGCGUGCACGACCCGCCCAGGCCCGGCCUGCCUUAAGGCAUGCUUUUGUGGGGUGUAUCCAUGGAGGACUCUCUGAUCGAUCCGGAUCUGGUGAUGAGACGGCCGUCGGCUCUGACGGCGAGUCGGCCACCGAUGAGUCAAACUCGUUGUAUCAACUUCAAGAUGGCAGGCUCAUGGGUUAUUCCGAUGGUGACAAUAUUCCGGACCCGUUUGAGCCGCCAAGUCAGGUUGGGGUCUUUAUGGCCGGUGCACAGCCUGUUUAGAACCCUGCUGCUGGAGCGGGAGACCCGGUGCCCUCGCCGGCUCAGGUACUGAUGGAUCUCACGGACAAGAUGACGGCCUUGUUAACCGCCACGGUUGACCCGGCGGAUCAAGCUCAGCAUGAUGCGGAGGUGGCACAGGUAAAAUUGGAUCUAGUGAAGGCUAAGGAGGAUCUGGCAGCGGAAGGAAUCAGGAUGACUGCGGAGCGGGCGGCUCUCGACGCCCAAACCCAGUUGAUUCAGGCGCAGUCCUUCCGGCUCACGAUGGAUCAAAACGCGGUCAAUGAGGUCCUGAGAAGGAGGCAUCAAAAGGCCCAAUCUCGACUCCCUCCGGUUUACGAUCCACGCAACCUCUUCAACACGCCAGGUGCAGGGUCUAGUAACCCGCCAGGGGUCUUAGUGCCCGGGUCGGGGACCCCUAUUCAGCCACAAGUAAUGGGGCCUCCCCAGAUGCCCCCUGCCCCGCCUCAGUACGUGCCAACACCACCGGGUCAUUAUAAUAACCCGCUGGAGAACAUGGUCGCUGCGGCAGCACGGCUGGCGGCUCUCCCGGUUGACGGCGACUCUCCGACGGCUAUUGAAACCCGCCGGGUCAGGGAACUCCUUCAGACAGCACUGGCGCAGCAAGAGGCGUACUCCUACAGCCGGGACAGGAUCCACUCGACCCCUCGUCCAGGCCGGAGCCCGAGUUACAGCAGACACAUGGUCUCAGCGACCGGCUCAAGUAACGUCCGACGCCAUGACCCGCCCCCUGGCCAUGGCCCGGCUUAUAAUGGAGCCUUUCACGCAGCAGACCAAGACAGAGCGCGGCAAGAGGCCGAGCAGGUGCCUCAGUUGACGGCUUACCAGACUCCCCCGGCUUAUCCGACGACGUCCGUCGAUGUGGGUAUCCCUACCAGGACUGGGGGUGUCCCUUGCUUAGUGCCAGCUAUCCGCAAUGAACGUCUACCCAAGGACUUCAAAGGCCCUAGGAAGGUGCCCAACUACACGACUGACUUACAACCCGCAGCCUGGAUCGAGAGUUAUGAGAUGGCCAUGGAACUACUGGAGGUCAGUGAGGCGGCAAUGGCCAAGUACUUCACUAUGAUGUUGGAUGGGACUGCCCGCACUUGGUUAAAGGGGCUACCACCGAAUUCCAUUGGGUCUUGGGCUGAGCUGAAAGCCCGGUUCAUCCAAAACUUCAAAGAUACCUGUAGGCAGUCUAUGUCAAUUGUGGAUUUGACUAACUGUAAGCAGCAAGAGGGUGAGUCUACGACACAUUGGGUUCGCCGGGUUAAAGAGAUCAUACACUCGUCAGACAAGAUGGAUGUCGGCUCAGCAGUUUUAAUGCUGGAGCAGAAUUGUCGUUUUGUGCCCCUAAAGAUGAAACUCGGGCGGCUUAAGCGCGACUGCAGUGAUAUGGGUACACUAAUGGCGGCUCUUGUCAAGUACGCUGAUUCUGAUGGUACCAAGGAUCCCCCUUCAGAUGAUGAAAGGACAGGGAAGGGAAAGAAGAAUGGCAAUGGCAAGGGUCCUCAGCAUAACCCGGGGAACCAAGGAGGAGGCAAGCGCAAGGCCGACGGCAGCCUAGAGUUUGUGGCCAAUGCCAGCUCACAAGGGAAUAACCAGCGACGUAAGGGGAUGCCCCCUCCCCGAGGCGGUGGGUCAGGCCCGACGCUGGAGCAACUGUUGAAUGAGCCUUGUCCAAGGCACGGUUCUAGAGAGAAGCCAGCGACUCAUUUAUGGAAGGAUUGUGCAAUCAUGAAGGCCUUUAAGAAUUACAAUGGCCCGGGCGGCGGUUCAGGCGCCGGCGGCUUUCAUGGCCCGGGCGGCGGCUCAAAUUCUGGUCCUCAGAACGGUCAAGGGGGCUUUAAUCAACAAUCUGGCCAGGGUCAUCAACAGCAGCAGGGGGGUUAUCAGACCAAUCCAAAGCAGCUUAGCGGUGGACAGUAUCAUGUGUUUACCACUAGUUUGUGCAAGCGAGAUCAGAAGCUUCACAAGAGGGCUGUGAAUGCUGUAGAGCCGGCAGUUCCACGCUACUUGCGGUGGUCUGAACAGCCUAUAGUGUGGAGCAGGGAGGAUCACCCUCCACGGGUGGAUAAUCUGGGUCACUUGGCCCUGGUGGUGGCUCCUCAGGUGGGAGGAUAUAAGUUCACUAAGGUGCUCAUGGAUGGAGGCAGCAGCAUCAACAUCCUCUAUUAUGAGACUUUCCGUCGUAUGGGGUUGAUUGAUAAAAACCUCAGCCAGUCCAACACUAUCUUCCACGGUGUGGUACCUGGUAAGUUGGCUUAUCCAGUCGGCAAGAUUGAGUUGGAAGUGGCCUUUGGAGAUGAGAACAACUACAGGGUGGAGAAAUUGACCUUUGAGGUGGUCAAGAUAAGAAGUCCGUACCAUGCUAUAUUUGGACGGCCGGCUUACGCCAAGUUCAUGGCACGGCCGUGUUAUGUGUACUUACAGCUCAAGAUGCCGGGUCACAAUGGGACCAUUACGGUUCACGGCAGCCGGAAAGUGGCUCUGGAGUGUGAGGAAGGUGACGCGGCUUAUGCAGAAUCUGUUUGUGCAACAGAGGAGUUGAAGUUUUACAAAGACAAUGUUGACCCAACAGAUAUGACUUCUCUGAAAAAGCCAACUACAGAGCAAGAGCCGGCAAUGAAAUUUAAGUCGGCUGAUGAGACUAAACUUGUUGAUUUUGUUCCAGGUGAAUCAUCUCAGCAGUUUAGCAUCAGUGCCAAUCUGGAUCCAAAAUAGGAAAGCGUGCUCAUCGAGUUCAUCCGUGAGAAUAGGGACAUCUUCGCAUGGAAACCUUCUGACAUGCCAGGUGUACCUAGGGAACUCGCUGAGAACACUCUCAAUGUUGAUCCGAAAUUUAAGCCGGUCAGGCAGUUCCUUCGACGGUUUAAUGAAGAGAGGCGGAAGGCCAUUGGUGAAGAGGUGGCCCGGCUCUUGGCGGCCAGGUUUAUUGUUGAAGUCUUUCACCCAGAAUGGUUAGCUAACCCGGUGCUCGUACUCAAGAAGAACGGCACUUGGCGGAUGUGUGUGGACUACACGGACUUAAACAAGGCGUGUCCGGCUGAUCUUUUUGCCCUUCCCCGUAUUGAUCAAAUUAUUGAUGCUACGGCAGGUUGUGCGCGCUUAAGUUUCUUGGAUGCUUAUUCCGGAUAUCAUCAGAUUAAAAUGGCAGUUAAGGACCAGGAGAAGACGGCAUUCAUCACUCCCUUUGGAGCCUUUUGCUAUGUGUCUAUGCCCUUUGGACUCAAGUGUGCACAGGCGACUUACCAGCGUUGUGUGCAGAACUGUCUUCAUAACCAGAUUGGGCGCAAUGUUCAUGCUUAUGUGGACGAUAUUGUGGUUAAGUCCAUAAAGGAGGAAACCCUGGUAGACGAUUUGAGAGAAACCUUUGAUAAUCUCCGGGUUUACAAGAUGAUGCUUAACCCGGCCAAGUGUGUUUCUGGUGUUCCUGCAGGCAAACUCUUGGGUUUCUUGGUUUCUGACAGAGACAUUGAAGCUAACCCAGAGAAGAUCAAGGCCAUCACCUCCCUGGCUAAGCCGGCGUGUAUAAAUGACGUUCAGCGCUUGGCGGGUCGCAUUGCUACUUUAAGCCGAUCUAUAAGCCGGCUGGGUGAGAAAGCCAUGCCAUUAUAUCAAUUGAUGAAGAAAACUGAUAACUUUGUCUGGAAUGAUGCAGCUAAUACUGCUUUUGAGGAUUUGAAGAAGCAGUUGGCAGAGCCCCCAGUCCUUGCUGCUCCGGUUGAUAAGGAGCCCUUAUUAUUAUAUGUGGCGGCGAACACACGAGUCGUCAGUGUGGCUAUGGUGGUGGAGCGCAAGGAGGAGGAUAAGGAGCAUCCGGUUCAGCGGCUGGUUUAUUAUGUCAGCGAAGUGCUCAUUGAGUCCAAGCAGCGGUAUCCGCAUUGGCAGAAGCUUGUUUAUGGUGUGUUCAUGGCGAGCCGGAAACUUAAGCAUUAUUUUCAGGGUCAUCCCAUCACUGUGGUCAGUUCUGCCCCUCUUGGUGAUAUCAUUCAAAACAGAGAGGCCACAGGGAGAGUAGCUAAGUGGGCCAUAGAGCUUGGACCUCAUGGUCUCAAGUACGUGCCACGCACUGCUGUUAAAUCUCAGGCCUUGGUGGAUUUCAUCAAUGACUGGACAGAGUCACAAGUGGCCGAGCAGAAGCCGGAUAACACAUAUUGGACUAUUCACUUUGAUGGGUCCAGGCAGUUGGAGGGCUCGGGGACUGGAGUUGUAUUGGCUUCCCCUAAAGGUGACAAGUUCCAUUAUGUGCUACAGUUGCUGUUUCCUUUCACUAACAACGCGGCUGAGUACGAGGCCUUGCUCCAUGGCCUUCGGAUGGCUAAGGAGAUGAGCUUGAGCCGGGUAAGGUGCUUCGGGGACUCAGACUUGGUGGCUCAACAAGUAUCAGGCAAGUGGGACUGUAAGGACCCUCUCAUGGCGGCUUAUCGCCGCGAAGUUGAUGCCAUUGCAGGGCACUUCCAGGGCUACCAGGUAGAGCACAUUGAUCGCAGGAAGAACGAGGCGGCGAAUGCUUUAAGCCGGCUGGGCUCUCAGCGAAAACCGGUGCCGCCCAACACUUUCUUGGACGUCCUGUAUAGCCCUUCUGUUAAGUUGCCUACAGAGGAAGACUUGGCUGUCCCUGACCCGGAGGCACGACUGGUGGCGGCUCUUCAUAUCAUACCAGACUGGACAAUGCCAUAUCUGGCUUACAUGACCCGGGGCGAGUUGCCUGAGGAUGAAACUUUGGCCAGGCAAAUAACCCGGCGGGCUAAGUCAAUGAUUGUUAUCAAUGGAGAGUUGCAUCACCGCAGUGUUACGGGAGCGUUUCAGCGUUGUGUUUCCCCCGAGGAAGGUCAAGAAAUCUUGCGUGAGAUCCAUGAAGGGGAUUGUGGCCAUCACGCCGGCUCAAAGUCUCUUGUGGCCAAGGCUUUUCGCCAUGGUUUUUAUUGGCUGACGGCUCAUGCUGAUGCGGAGGACUUGGUCAGUAAAUGUGAUGGUUGCCAGAGGUUCUCACGAUGGGCUCAUGUGCCAGCUCAGGAGCUGAGGAUGAUCCCAAUCACUUGGCCCUUUGCGGUCUGGGGGCUUGAUAUGGUUGGGCCUUUUAAAAGGUCCAAGGAUAAGAAGACCCACCUCUUGGUGGCAGUUGACAAAUUCACAAAGUGGGUGGAAGCUGAGCCAGUUAGCAAGUGCGAUGCAGCCACGACGGUUCAAUUUAUGAAAAAGGUGAUUUUCCGUUUUGGCUUUCCGCACAACAUUAUAACUGACAAUGGCACCAAUCUCUCCAAAGGCGCCAUGGAAGAGUUUUGUCAACGAGAGCAUAUCCGACUUGAUGUUUCCUCGGUGGCUCAUCCUCAAUCCAAUGGUCAAGCUGAGAGAGCUAAUCAGGAGAUUCUGAAGGGCAUCAAGCCCCGACUUUUGGUCCCUUUGCAACGGACGCCGGGUUGUUGGGUGGAGGAGUUGCCCUCCGUGUUAUGGAGCAUCAACACUACUCCUAAUAGGUCUACAGGCUUCACGCCUUUCUUCAUGGUUUACGGGGCGGAAGCAGUCCUCCCCAGUGACAUCCGUCAUGACUCACCUCGAGUGGCGGCUUAUGUUGAGGCGGAUAAUGAACAGGCGCGCCAAGAUGCUCUUGACUUGUUGGACGAACAGCGUGAUGUGGCAGCAGCCCGUUCAGCGAUUUAUCAACAAGACCUGCGCCAUUAUCAUAGCCGCCGGGUUAAAUCCCGGGUCUUCCAGGAAGGCGAUCUCGUGCUCCGGCUUAUCCAGGAUCAAACAGAUGCACACAAGUUAUCCCCGCCUUGGGAAGGGCCCUUUGUGGUCAGCAAGAACUUGCACAAUGGGUCAUAUUACCUCAUUGACAUUCGGGAGCAUAAAGGUUCACGUAAGUCGGAGGAAGAGACCCGUCGGCCGUGGAACAUAGCUCAGCUUCGGCCUUACUACACUUGAGUCACCAGCUCUCGUGAUGUACAUAUUUCUCUCAGCCAUGUAUAUAUUAUGAUAAGCAAUAAAGCAGGACCUCUGUCCUUUUUUCUCCUCCAAAUAUGCACGUGUUGUUUUCAUUACAAGAUUACAUGAUGACUUGAAGGAGGAUCCGGCUUAUGAUCGUAUUCGAAUCUAGCCAUAAGCAACAAGGUCACUUGGGGGCUUCUUGUUCAAACAUGGGUCGUAUUCGAACCAAAGAGAACAUAGCUGUCGAUACCCAUUUGAUUGGCAAAGUGCCGAGCUCAUUGGGGAGUUUUCUUUGAUCGUAUUUGAAUCUUAGUUUAACCCCUUUGAGAACCGACGUGGAUCGUAUUCGAAUCAGCAUCGUUAAACAAUUCUUAAAAUCACUUGGGGGCUUCCUGUUCAAACAUGGGUCGUAUUCGAACCAAAGAGAACAUAGCUGUCGGUACCCUCUUGAUUGGCAUCGCCACACCCACUGGGGGCUAUAUGAUCGUAUCCGAAUCUUAGCUUAACCCCUUUGGGCCGGGUCUCUGGUCGUAUUUGAACCGGAAGCCCCUAAGUUCUUCCGCUUUAUCACAAGUUUUCUCUGAUUAUGUCAAGGUGUGUACAGCCGGGUCUCACUUUGCCGGCUUAACUUUGUUUUACAGUAUUGUUGAACGCAAUGGGUGUUAUAAGACAGAUAAACCGGAGUUGCGGUACCAACCUUCUUAUCCGGGUUAUCUAAACCGGAAGUAUGUUUGCAGGCCGUUAAAUAUGUUCUUACGGCUGUAUUCAGGAUAUCAUUGAAGACAAGUCCUUUUUGAUUCAUAUUCCGGGUUAUCCAAAGCUUAUGUUUCUUAGGGAGGUAAGCCGCCUCGAGACUUGUGAUUUUCCCUUCUAUGCAGGAUAAUUAAAGGCACCUCUUUUGAGGUUAAGAAAAAGAAAGGAUUGAUUAUGACCCGGAGAAACAUCAAAGAGAACUUCAAAAGACUUCAGCAUUCAAGGUGUGCACGGUGACACGGCAAAAAUAAAGUGUUGGUCCUACUCUAUUACAAGACUCGUUGAGUCUGCAAGGGUGAGGCAUUGUUUGGUAAACCGCCAGCCGAGUUACGAUGCUUGCUGAGUUGAAGUCUCCGGCUCAUUCCUGUCUUCUCCUCCGGCUGAUCCCAAGACCUGGAAAGUUGAUGACUUCCAGUCGAUGCCGCUGAGAGCUUCGAAUUGGGCUUCCUCGUCAAUUAACCCGGCCGGGUCAAUCUCUGGGGCGAAAGUGUGCUGACGAGCCGGCGGGAUUAAGUUGAGGGCUUCAUAGCGAGGGGUUGGAAUCCUCUGAUUUUCCGCAUUGUAACCCGGCUGGUACUUGGUCAGAUCUGUGUCGUUCCCGAUAAGGGUGGCCAUCGGGUGUACGGCCUUCACGCAAGCUGCAAAGUCCUUCUGAUCGAAAGCUGAGCCGUCUUCCUUCAGGCUUGGAUAGCCAAGGGCGAUGUCCGCCGGGUCUAACUCCGGCAGGAAUGCCUUGGCCCGGCUCAGCGCGGCGAUCGCUCCGGCUCUUGCAGAGGCCCGUCGCAGCUCUUGGAUCCGUUGAGGCAGUACAGCGAGCCGGCGAAGGACUUCUGCCAGGUGAGUCGGCACCUCGUUGGAUAGGGCCACCACGGCUAAGGCACGCUGUGACCCGGUGUAGAGCUGCUCCACCAGGGUAUACACGGCCUUCAGCUUGGUUACCACGCUCUGGUUGAGGUUGGCACUUCUGGGACCUGUUUAACAAAGUCAGAUAAGCCGCCGACAAGGAUGAAAUUAUGAGAUAUAUACAUUCUAUGCUUGAUAAAAGCCGGCGAGACGACUUACCGAAGACUGCGGCCACCAUCUGGGACACUUGGCGCUUUAGGCCGGAGAGCUCGGCGGUCUUCUCGGAGAGAGCCUUCUCCGCCUGUUCAGCCCGGUUUACCAAGGCGGCCUUUUCUUCGGCCCACGCCUUCCGCUCAGCGUCGAACUCCGUCUUCAGCUUCUCUUGCGCGGCGAUGCUGGACACGAACUUGGCGUUUGCCUUCCGGGUCUCCAUCUCUUGCAUCUUUAGCCGGUUCUUGAGAUCAGCAAGGUCAGCCUCAAGCUUCUUGCCAACAGCCUGUAUAAACUUCCGGGUUAUGGCAUGAACAAUUACUCUACAAAUUUAAAGUCCCAAGCGUUUUCCAAGCAAAGACACUUGGCACUUGGGGGCUAAUGCAUAUCAAACGUUUUUUAUCUACACAUUGCCGGUUCAAAUGGAGUAAGCCGGAACCUAAGUCUACAACAUAUUUAAUCAUAAGUCGUCGACUUGGGGGCUAGCAUGGCAAAGGUAAAUAUGCAGUAAGUAAGAGGACAGCAGAAUGAUACCUCAGAUUUCUGCUGGAUCUGGUUCACCAUGGCAACCUCUGCGUCCCGGCUCUUGUGCACUUGGCUGAUGUAGCCAGAGACGAGCUCUCCAAUGCUCAGGUUGGUGUAGUCGGAGAGGUCCAGGUUCACCCGGUGGGGCUGCAGCAACUCCCCCUUAGUGGAGCACUUGGCCAGCACGGUAGGUCUCCCCGGCUCAACGAACUCCGUCCGGGUGAUUACCACGCCCGGGUCGUCUGCUGGUGGAGCCGAGCUGGAGGCCUCCGGGUUAACAGAAGCUUCUGUAGUUGCCUUGGUAGUUGGGGCAGCGGCUUCAGGUGCCUUGUCGGUUGGAAUGGUGGCCUCGGGGGCGGAGGCAGCUGGCGGUUCUUGAGCCGUCACCUCCGGUUCAGGUAAAUCCGGCACUCCGGCUGACUUGGUCUUCUUCGCUCUCUUGGUGAGCUUUGCCUGGGCACUGAAAGGACAGAAACGUUAAGCACAAAAAGGGUAAGUACAUACAAGUAUAAUAUGAGAUGGUUGUCAUUACCAGGGCGCGGUCUUGAAAGUCGGAAGACUCGACUGCAUAGAGUCGCCCGAAGAGGGGGAGGUCUCCUGAUAAUUUGAGUCAGAAGAAUUGAGUGGCUGACGUAUAACACCCGCCAACGGAUGAAAAGGGUACAAGUGGGAAAUAACCUCAGUUCGGCGCUUCCUUGAUGCGUCAGGUAGCCCGGAGGAGAGAUCGGUGUCCUUACUGGUCCGGGUGUGACCCCGGCUCUCAUGAACCUGUCGCUUCAAAAUAAAUUGAGGAUCUUGAUAAGCUAAAGGAUGUGAAAAGCUUACUUUCCGGGUUACCCAUCGGACUUUCAGCUUUUGCAAGGGCUCCGAGUCGGAGGAAAGUGACAUUACCUCUUCAACCACCGGGUUACUUGCGCCGGUGUCAUCCUGUCAAUGAGCAAGUAUUGAUAAGGCGGACAGCAACAAACAGUGAAUACAACAAGGACUUAAAGGCUCAGGGGUUACCUCUGACUCGGAGCUGUCGCUUAACUGCAUCAGCUCUGAAGCAGUAGGCCUGCUUCCUUUCUUGCGAGGGGCGGCUUUCUUGGCGGCUUUCUUCACCUUUCUGGCCCUCUUGGCCGCCUCAUGAUCAUACUUGACCCGCCAGAACUUGUCGUCAGCCUGAAAAAUACAAUGAUGAUUUCUUCAAACAAUUCAGAUGAAAGUUAUAUAUAGAAGAAGAUAGGAUGAUCAGAUUGGCGGCUUACCGCUGGGGCUGGGUUGGUCUUGCAGAAGGGGGCUAACCCGGUCCUUCCGCAGUCUGCCAGGCUCUCGUUUAAAAGAGCCUUGGUCAUCUCCUCUGCAACGUCUUCAGGAAGAUCAUUGAGGCUGUGUCUCUGAGGGUCGUCCUUUCGGCCCGUGUACUCACACAUUAAGCCGGGGCGGCGGCUCAAUGGGAUCACCCGCCACGAGAUCCAGACCCGGACCAGAUCAAUUCCAUUCAGACCAUUGCCCAGGAGAGCCUUGAUCUUGUUGAUAGUGGGGAGCAGAGGCUGGCGCUCCGCCGGAGUCAGUUUGUCUGACAGUGGGUGUGUUGACUCCAGACGCGAUGGGCGAAAGCCGGGCAGCGGACUUUCAUCAGCCGGUGACGUGUCUUGGCAAUAGAACCAAGUCAUGUUCCAGUCCUUUGGAUGGCUCGGUGGCUCGGCAUAAGGGAAAAGACAGUCUCUUCGCCGCUGAAUGGAGAUGCCGCCUAGUUCUAGACUUGGCCCAUUGGCGCACUCGUUCUGACGGUUCAAGUAAAAAAGCUCUCUGAAGAGCAGCAGACUAGGUUCUUCUCCAAGGUAAACCUCACAGAAGACUUGGAAGUUGCAGAUGUUGGACACUGAGUUGGGCCCUAUGUCUUGAGGCCGCAAGUCGAAGAAGUUUAGAACGUCUCUAAAAAACUUUGAGCCGGGCGGUGCGAAGCCCCGGCUCAUGUGAUCCGCAAAUAUCACUACCUCCCCGUCCUUUGGCUGUGGUCUCUCUUCUGACGGGUCGGGGGCACGGUAGGACAUGACGUCCUUCUUGGGCAGGUAUCCGGACUUAACAAAAUCUGCUAGUGUCUCAUUGGUGACGUUGGACCUCAUCCAGUUGCAAGUAAUGGAGGUUUUGGGAGGCAUGGUGAAAGUCGGCAGUCUAUGACACAAAGGAAAAACGUCCGGAUUAAUUAUAAGCCGGAGGAAAUCUACAACUCAAAGCUAAGGUGGCGGCUUAUGAAGGGGACUAAUGGUAUAUACCUAAGUACAGUGGGUUAUUUAAGCCGCAGGGGCAUUCAGAACAAAUUGAUUAUCUACGGUCUUAUCACAACUAAGCCGGAGGAUUCUACGAAGCAUGAUUUUCUUUAACCCGGAAGGUUCUACGGCGCGUGGUUUCUUUAAACCGGAACCGUAAACCGCUGAGAUUCAAUGAUUGCAGUUUUUUACUAAGUGUGGUAAACAGGUUUCACACAUCGCAGUAAAAAUUUUGGAUCAAAAUGGUCGGUCCAAAGGAAAUUUUCUAGACCUAAAAUACAUACGCAGGGGAGUUCUUGAGCUCGAAUGAGGUCUCUAUGCAGUGAAAAGAAGUCUCCUUGUGUUUGAAACGGGUGCUAAAACAUCUACCGCAAUGGUUCCAUAUGGGCUAAGAUCAAAAAGGAGCAGUAAAAAAGAAGACUACCGGAGCUUGUGGGCGACGGCGACGAACACGAAGAACGCGGACGAACCCUACGGUAGAUCUAUUCUACAGGACAAGCAGGACUUACAAGAGCUGGAGAGUCGCGGAGGUCGUCGCGUUUUUCUGGUCAGAUCAGGGUGAUGUAGCGACCUGAGCUGGUGACGAUGAGAAGACCCGCGGCGGCGGCAGUAGCAGAGCUCGGGCAGGGGAGCAGUGGCACGAGGAAGAAGAUGGAGAGAUAAGUGGCUGAGAGCCCGUCAGGCCGGCCUAUUUAUAAGGCAAGUUCAUAAGUGGGCGCGAGAAUCAAGGAGACCACGGCGUGGUUAUCUCCCCACAGAACGCCUCGAUUUUCGGGAUGACAGUAAAGAAAAAUAUCCGUUGCGGAUCUGGCGGAGUAAAAAACGGGCUUAAUGGAAGAUGACGUCACGGCAGAUUAUCCGGAGUCCAGAGGAUGACGUCACGCCGGGUUAUGGCCUUCACACAAUUGUAAGCCGGAGGUUUUUCUGUCGAAGGAAUGGAAGAUUGACAUGAGCCGGCUCAAAUCAAUCUGGGGCCUAAUGUUGAGGAUAUAGACCUUAGAGUCACCUGCCAGGAGGGGCCGGGUUACUCUAAUGGUCAUUACCAGAAGCCCGGCGCCAAGCUUGAAGACGGUGGGCCAGAGAUGGGCUUAAGACCCGGAUAUGGCUUAAGGCCCGUAGUUACAAUCAUUAUCAUGGUAGAACUUGUAGUGCAAGGCAAGAAUAGCUGAGAGUCCGAGCCGGACACUCUUAUGAGCCGGCCGGGACUCUGAGAGCUGCUGGGCGUCAGCCUCCCUAUAUAAAGGGGCGACCCGGCAGCGGUUUAGGGACAAGAACAAUAUCAUCGAGAACCAGGCAUAGCGGUUUAAGCUCCCUGGUCAUCGAAACCCUAAUCAAUACCACCUCAAACUGGACGUAGGCUUUUACCUUCACCGUAAGGGGCCGAACCAGUAUAAACCCUCGUGUUCCUUGUCCCGCAUUAACCCCUUCAAGCUUCCUAGCUGCGAUGGCUCCACGACUAAGUCCUAGCUCGAGGACAUCUGCCGUGACAAUUCCACGACACCGAUCGAUAAACCUCUCCAGCGAUGCCUGCCUACAACAUACACACACACCUUCAACCUCCUCCUUUAUGUGUCCUUGCCUCGUGUCUCUCAUACGGUCAGACACACGUGUAAACUCUCGCCCCUCUUUUCAUCGAUCUCACAACCGCACACUCCUCCCCCUAUCUAGCUAGUAGUUGGGCCUCUCGCACCACCUCCUAGCUCCAUUCUCUCUGUCUAUCCGUCUCGCUGGGCCUUAUUUGCCUCUAACAAAUGGACGUACACCGACCGAUCUCUCGCUAUACAUAUAGCUAGCUAGGUCCUUAUAACUCGUUUUUACCCACACGUCAAUCGAUCUACCUCAUUAGUUGUGUCUCUCCCUUCCUCCGACAAACAACAAUUGAUCUACCGAUCUAGUUAGGUUUGCUUACCAAACACAUGGUUCCCCUUCAUCAUCCAUGGAUGCGUCCCGACAGAUCUAUCACGCACAGGCACACAUAGAAACACAUCCCCACUCUUAUUGAUAACAUUGCAGUUCCACCCUUAGUUUGUCUAGUAGGCCUCUCCCACCAUCUUCGAGAAGCAACUCCAUCACCCAUCCAGCACUCUACCCCUCUCCCUCCCUCUCCCUCCCUCUCUCUCUCCUCUCUCUCUCUGUCCCAUCAUAUUUCCCGUCCUUCAGUUAUGUAUGGACGUCGAUCGAUCUCCCUCAAGACAUAGCUGGGUCUCUCCUUCUCAACACAUAUACGAGUCGUUCUACCUCUAUAGUUAGGCCUCUGCCUACCCCUCCCCCCACCCCCUCCCCCCCACACACACCGAUACAUCGGGCGCUCUAGUCAUGUCUCCCUGCCACACACAAACUUGACAUGUGCCCUCUAAUGUUCCGGUAGGCCACUCNNNNNNNNNNNNNNNNNNNNNNNNNNNNNNNNNNNNNNNNNNNNNNNNNNNNNNNNNNNNNNNNNNNNNNNNNNNNNNNNNNNNNNNNNNNNNNNNNNNNNNNNNNNNNNNNNNNNNNNNNNNNNNNNNNNNNNNNNNNNNNNNNNNNNNNNNNNNNNNNNNNNNNNNNNNNNNNNNNNNNNNNNNNNNNNNNNNNNNNNNNNNNNNNNNNNNNNNNNNNNNNNNNNNNNNNNNNNNNNNNNNNNNNNNNNNNNNNNNNNNNNNNNNNNNNNNNNNNNNNNNNNNNNNNNNNNNNNNNNNUGGUGGAGGGAGGAUCGUCUACCACGGGUGAACAAACAAAUUGCGACUUGACGUGUUAUGUUAAAAAAAGAGGCAAACCAUGUGGGGCCUACCUUAGAGGCAAGGCUCUAUACACUGGAGUACUUUUGAUGUGUCCCGUCAACUCGCAGAACGAGGAGAAGCUUGCUUAGUACGCCGUCUCCCCCGCCCACGGGCGCGGUGGCUCGCAGGAUGAGGUGAAGCUUGCUCCGCCUUACGCCCGCUCCCUCGCCCAUGCGCGCGGUGGCUCGCAGGACGAGGAGAAAAAUUUACUACUCCCUCCGUUUACUCCUCGUCCCUACUACCUUGGUUAUAGAGAUUAUAUCAUAUUGUUUGGAAUAUAUAUGUCCUUUAGUAGAUUUCAAUAUGAACUACUAGUACAUACUCCAAACACUGAUGUAUAUAGACGUAUUUUAGAGUGUAGAUUCACUCAUUUUGCUCCGUAUGUAGCACUCUCCCUCUCCCCUCAACCCUCGCCCACGUGGUGGACGUGCAACAAUUCAUUCGGUCUCAUAUAGCCAGAACGAUAUAUACUGCACUACCAUUAUUGCUCGACUUCCCGAAGAGGCGAAGAGCCAAUCGCAAGGUUAAUAUUUUGGAGAUGCCAAGCGCAAGGUUAUAGGAGAACGAGUAGUAGGUGCCGCGUCAUUUAUAAAUAAAGUUUUUUGUCUUGAGUGGCAUGUACGCAAUAUGAUAGGUUCAUAUGGAUAGAAAAGGAAACCGCUCCACUAUAUACAUAGUCAGGACGGGCCAGCCUACACGGUUGCUUGCUGGGGUUGCUCUCUUCACACUCUCUCGCACAAAACGACUGUGGCCACAUCUCUAACAUCCCGGUGGAUCACGUCCGCUUGGGGAAGGGGUGGAUGCUUAGUGUAGAUGCGGUGGCCGUCGCCGACGGCGAAAACCCACUGUCGGCACGUCCCGAUCAGGGGUCCCCGCCGUUCUCUCUCACAAAGCCGGUGAGGUUGCCUUUGUCCCUUGCUCACUGCCGCGACGUGGGCAGUUGCCGCCUCCCGCUGCCCUCCUCAAGGUUGAGCUACGUCCCUCAGGUACAACUCCCUUUACAGCCGGCUUGCACCACUGCUCUAGCUGGCCACAUCACUCCCUAUGGAUAUUUCUCUACUUCUUUGCCCCGCACAUACCUCUACUGGCUUCUACGUACUAUAUUUGUGAUGAUUUUAUGUCACAUCAACUAGUCCCAGUAAUCUUAUUCUAAUCACGCUUCUUCAAUUUCUUUGCCACAGGGAUGCUCAUCUCGAUUUUGGUGAAACUGCACAAAAUGAUCCGAUGGUCAAAAGGUUGCAAACUUCAUUUAUUAGGAAGCUCGAACGUUGCCAGCAAAUUGAAGCCUAGUCAGGGUUCACGGUUCAAGGGCUAGGGACUGCAUGGAUCGUUUUUUUCUUUAGCUGCCUCUGUUCCAAAAUAAGUGUCAACUUUAGUAGUAGUACAACUUUGUACUAAAGUUUGCACAAAGUUGAGACACUUAUUUUGGAACGGGGGGAGUACAUAUUUGCUAUGAUCUGUCAAUCAUUGAGAUGCAAUAGCAUGCAUGUUAGUCUCCUUUGUAUUUGAUUAAAUGUUGCAACGGGCAACCUUGGACGCAGGAUACAUGUAACAGAAGCUGGAAGCUUCAUAGCAUUGUACAAAUUUAUCUCGCUGAUAAAUUACAGUACGUACUAUACUAGUGCUUCCUCCGUUCCUAAAUACAAGUCUUUGUAGAGAUUUCACCAUGAACCACAUGCGGAUGUAUAUAGAUGCAUUUUAAGUGUAGAUUCAUUCAUUUUGUUCCGUAUGUAGUGGAAUCUCUACAAAGACUUAUCUACUAGUAAUAGCUAGCCCCCACUACUAGGAAUUCUCUAUCCUCUCCUUGAGCCACAUCAUCAAAAUUGAUGUAGCCGUUAGAUGAAGUAAAUCAGUCCAUAAUAGCCGUCUGAUCUAGAUGUUGAGAGGCUCCGCACUAAGCCACAUGCAAGCAUGCAGAAAUACCGUGGCACAUGCAUGUGAGUGGGUUUUAAAUCACAUCAACAUGUCUGCAUGCAAGCAUGCACCGGUAGCAUGCAUGUAAGUGAGCUUUUAAGUCCCAUUAACAUGUCAAAAAGAAAAAUAUAAUCCCAUUAUGCAGUAGGAGUUGGCUGAUCUUUUUUCCUUACGUGGGAUGAUCUAAAUGAUGAUGGGAGUUUAUUUAGUUUGGUUACCACAUUUGUCAUGCGGUUAUAGAGUUUUUUUAGUUCUAUGAAAUCGAUAAUUUUGCGCAGAGAGAUAUACCGCUGUUCCGCGGCAACGCACGGGGACUCAUCUAGUAAUAUUUAGGAACGGAGGGAGUACUAUGUAAAGAGUUAGGUGUCGCACGGUAAUAGUGUGAGGUGGGCCAUGUAAUCACUGAGCCUGCGUGUUUUCACUGCUCUUGCACGCCUUCGCUGUAAGAAUGGAGAAAAUUGUAAUCUAGUAGUAGUACCUCCUUUCGCCGAAAGCGUGGGACAUCCAACAGUCCUACCACCUCAGUAAUAAAGACCAAUGAGCCGUCAAAUCACAUAGACCCAGCAGUAAGUUGGACGGACGAAGCAACCAUCACUCUUGCGCCAGUGAGAGGUCGCGCCCGCUCUGCCCGGGCAUGAAUGCGGCACCGAUUCUUUGGAGCGGCGCUGACCGUUUCGGGCGGGAAGUGCACGCGGGCGAUGGAGGGGCUGUGGGUGGGCCAGGCUGGUCAGGAGCGGGCGUGGCAGCUGUCCGCAUGUCCCUAUCGGACACGCCCGGAAACGAGAGGAUGCACCGACUCUCGCGGCUAAAAUCGUACACUACACAACAUCUCUCUGUAGGAGUAGGUCGAUCUGUCGCUCUCUCUAACACACACAUGCUGUUAAACACACACACACACGCACACGCACGCACCUUGGUCCCAUUGCACCUUCUAACGUGACUUAUUACACCUAGACGGAGGGAGUAGUUAGUAUACGAGAUACGGUGGCACACUGACUUAAGUCGAAUACAAGUGCCCAAAAUUUGUGUGCAUGUUAUAAUAAGGAUUCACUUAAAAUAGUACGUGAGCGAACAGAGGGAUCAAUUGGACAGUGUUCCCGAGCAAUAGCGAGAUGUGUGAGGUAAGAUACACCGCUGGCGCUUUUAAUUUUUCUUAUUAAUUUGUUUGUUUCACCCUCUGACUGGUGGGACCCAACGUACUACGUGGAGAGAGGUAAGGUGACUAAGGCUGCAUUAUUUCUGCACCACUGUGAUAGUCUUACCACCAAAGCCACAUGACACGAUUAUGAUUGAAAUCCUAAUGACUCCCACACAAAAAAAAACACG